Molecule: non-coding RNA, 51393 nt
Organism: Osmia lignaria (orchard mason bee)
Lineage: Eukaryota; Metazoa; Arthropoda; Insecta; Hymenoptera; Megachilidae
Source: RefSeq, a predicted model, not a curated record
AAAGGGUCGAGAAGGUUUAAUCGUAAAUCGUAUUACGAUCAAAUAACCACGUUCUGAGCGUCCUUUCGAACGACCAGCACCAACUAUUGUGUUGCCCGGUGAAAUGAGGUCCGCAGAGAUUUACGGGCGCAUCCUUUAUGCUUCCGCGAAACUGCAUGUAUGAGAGCUAGUGGAAACGGGAUGUACUCUCUCGGUGUUCGUGACGAAUGAGAAUCGCGACUGAAUCCUGUGAUCCGUGAUUAAAGUUUCUGCGGUCUCUCAGUACUGCAACAGAGUUCGAUUCGAUCGAGCUACUGAACAUUUUUUUCCCCGGGAAAGUGGAGGAUCAGCCGGCGAACAAAACGUACGGCAUUUGCGAGGGUGUUUCGUUAUUCGAGGAAAUCCGAUAAUACGGUGGUUCGCGGUGCUGUAGGUGAAUAUUUGGUAAUAGAAGUUUCUUCAUACUAUCCAUAUGGGACAUUUUGAGGUACUCUGUUUAAGAAUAUUAUUAUUAUAAAUAUAUUUUCUUGCUUAGUAUUAAUGUAAUUAUUCUGAAAUAUUUUCUCGACUAAACUAAGGUGUUAAUUGACAGGAUAAAAUCAAUCAUACGAUUCGAUCUCUAAAAUUCUACUGGUAAAUAAAUAAUACUCUUUUUAAGAGCAUUAUUUUUUAAAAUAUAUUUUCUCAUUUAGUAUUAAUCAAAUUGCCUUGAAAUAUUUCCUCGAAUAAACUAAAGUGUUAAUUGGCAGGGUAGAAUUAGUUAUAUUAAUCGAUCUUUAGAACUCUACUCGUAAAUAAGUAAUUUUUCACGCUUAUUCGAUACUUUCUUUUUCUUCUCAUUACAUUUAAUGGAAGCCUUGCUCAACAAUAUACGUUCAAACAUCUCUAUUGAUGCACGUGUAUCACAUUCUUGCGGUACCCUCGAUGAAAUCGGUAUUCUGCGUACGACACAGUAAUCUGAUGCGGAUACUUCAGUCGAAUCGUUUCGAUCAGAGAUUGGCGAGUCGAAUCGAGACGGUCGUCGAUAUCGGAGGUCGCGGUACCGUUCGAUACAUAAUUUGAUCGAACGUGUAUCGCUGCUGAUCCGAUACCUCAGACUGGACGCAAACAAAUUAAACCGGCAAACAGGUCGAUCGUGAUAUCUGUUGGCGAGAUUCAGUCGAAGGAUACCGCGUCGAUCGAAUUGAUUAAAUGAAGUGAACGAAGAGAAAGCCCGAUCAAAUCGAAGUCUCGUUACACCGUUCGACCACCGUUGAUGCUACUUUUAAAUGAUUCCUUUCUUUAAAACCUGAAAUAAUCGCGAUCUUCUUGCGCGAACGUCGCCGAUUUCUAAUGUCUCGUUUCCAUUGGCUUAUUUAUGGUCACGAUUCAUCUUGUAUCUGGAAAUCGGACGUGUAAUUGAACACGGUGUUGGCUGCGAUCGAACGAGACGUUGUCUCCGCUGAAUGAAGUGUAAUUCAAUAGUAACAGGAGAAUGUCUGAUUCGAUGUUUCCAUCCUAUGAUUUAUCGGCCGAUCAUUUUAUUCUUCACUCCUUAGUUGAGAUUUCGUGAAAUAUUUCACUGUACGUUCCUUUGACUGACGCUAAUAUUGCAAAAUUAAACUAAGUCAUGUGUUCCAUACAUAGUUAAUAUUUCCGAUAGCUAGCGAAUAUUAUGAAUAUUUUAGAAUUGAAAUUAAAAAUUAAAGUAUUCGUGUCACAUUUAUCUGAACACAUAUUAAUUCACUGAUCUCUAUUCUUACAUUCAUUUGACUGAUUUCAUUAAAUAUUUCAAAUGAAGUUCUAAUCGCAGUCGUUAUUGAAAAAGAUCUGAGAGAUCUUAAGAGGGUCUGAUCCACUUAUACUGGCUUGAAAUUUUUCGAAACGAUAAAAAGUUGGAACAAGUCGUCGAGGAGCGUUUCGGUGGGCUAAUCGAGUCGUUCGAUCGGUCGUCGAUAGCCUCGUUAGCGAUCCGUUUCUUCUCUUCUAGAGCAUCGAACGGUCAUUUGAGUGAAUCGAGUGAUGGUCAGUGAAGAUACGGAAGAAACGAACUAACUUAAUUUCUUACUGUGAAUGGUCCAUUCGACUUAUUACGUUUCUCACGCUCGACACGACUCGAUGCUGAUCUCCCGUUGCCUUUUUACUUCGUCCUAGAAUCGUGAAAUUAUUAGCGAAUUUUUCGGUACAACGAUUCGCGUAAUCGGAAUAGACGCAUUUUUUAUCGUACCAUUCAUUUUCUACGAAACCCAAUGAAUGUUAUUUAGGUAUAGAAAUUCAGUGAUAAUUUGGUGAUAUUGGAUAGUUUUAAAGGGAUGAAAAUAACAGAUCUCAAAUAUCCCAAUUUUAAUUAUAAAAUUUAUUUAAAUGUUUUUGUUGAAAUAUACGUUGACUUUUAUCGAGAUAAAGAAUUAUUGAACAUACUGGUUUGAAUUUCAUACGUGAUCUAUUUAUGCUUCUAUUUUAUUUUCAAUCUAAAAUUUAGCGUGCAUUAAACGCCGGUAGUUCUAUUAUUAAAAAUGGUAAAAAUUGAAGUGAAAUUUUUAAAAAUGUAUCUAUGCAGUUCCGGAUUUCCUGUUCAGCUCAACAAACAUUGAUCGUAACCAUAAUACACACGGGAAACUUCAUCCACGAGAAAAAGAGUGGGUCGUUAAUAAAUCGUAAAUCCUUUUCGUCUGUUUUUUGUCGUUCCCGUCACGAAGGAUUAAAUUGAUGAUUUCGAGCGAAGCGUGUUUUACGCGUCGCGAAUUACAGUCUGUCGACGUGGUUGCACAGAAAACUGACGGCUGCAACUCAUAAUCGCGGCUGUCGAUAAUUGACGUGGCACGGAUUACCGUUAACUGAAUCGACCGGCUCGAGAAUCCCUCAUUUUUACGCUUUAUUAAUUCCGCGGAUUCGUUUUGCGCCACCCCGUUCACCAGGGAAAUCCAUCAGCCUUCCACUUCCCUUCCGGCUACGUGUCUCUGUUGGCUCGUUUCCGAUUCUCUGCGCACACUUUUCCGUUACGAUGCCAAGAACAAUCAAACCUGAAUUUACUAAAUUACGAUGAUCAAUAACUGUUUCCGAAAAGAACAUUUUUCUGUGGACACUUUUCCUUGAAAAUUUUCUACCCUUCUGAUUUAUUUCCUUUGUUAUAAAACAUAAGUCAAACUGAAGAUAAAUAAUUCCGUGAAAUUCUCAGCUGAGACAGGUCUGCUGCCUUGUUACAGAAUGACAGAUUCAUUUGAAAUAACUCUAAAGAUAAAGGUUGGAUUUCCGAGCUCGUGAAACGAAGAGUAUUCAAAAUCUCGUAGAACCUUGAACCCGGUGUGUUUUCACCAAGAUUAUCUCGAGUAUUUUACUAGGUAGAUAGCGAAAGAAAGCGUCAAGGGAACGCUUCUUGGGAAGAUAAACUUCAGCUUCAUAAAGAAUCGUUGAGAGUUCAGAUUGCUCUCCCGACAGUUUUGUGGAAUGAAGAGCUGAUACGAACGAAACGGAAACUAAUUCAGUAGCUUUCGUCAGAUAAACGUUGGUAAUCUCUCAAUGGAGAUUAUAGAACAUCUGGCCCGAAGUCUAUUGACACUUUUCCACUGAACAAAGGAUUUCAGUUUGUUUGAAAGACUUCAAAGAACCCUUUUCAUCUUAAUUACCAAAGUGCUGCUUCGUUCCAAGUACAACACGAUCUAUUAAUCUAUUUAUAAAAACUAGAAAUAAUUUUUGAAUAUGCUGUAACUUGAAAUCGCAAUAAAUUACAAUGGUGAAUGAUACAGCCGCGACGAUGAGAAUCAUAAACAAGAUGCAAAGGAAAGGUAAGAAGAAUCAAAGCGUUGCUAGUCGACGAUUACAGCUUUUUCUUUUCGCAUUAUUCCCGCGAACUACCAGGAAAAUUCACGAAGCUGCCAGACGAAGGAAUUAAUCCGGCCCGCAAUCGCGUCUACGCUCGCUUUAGCUGCAUUUUUGCAUCGGGUUUCGGAGCUGUUCCCCGGCCUCGUCGACUUUUGCCACCGGAUUACAUCGGAUUCCUUUGUGCAAUCGCCGCUAGUAUCUCGCCCUUUUUCAUCCCUUUCGCCAACCCUUUGUACGCUCGUCACCUUACAACUCUCUCGCGUUGCCGUCUUUCGUUUCUUCUUUCCUGACGAACGACCGCCAAGCCAAGCCGAGUCGAGCCGAGUUGCGGCAGAAAUCUUAUCUGCUUUUCAACGUACAAGCACCGUCUCGCAUAUAAUUUUCGCGUGCCGAGAGAAAGGAGAAAAAGAUAGGACGUAGAAAGCGAGGAAGAGAAAAAGAAGAGAGAAAGAUGAAGAGAGUGGAGAAAUGGUCAAUACGCGCGGCUUGGAACCUUUCUACGCAUAAUGCUGAGAUUAGAGUGAUCCAUGUGUGCAACGCCAGCUUCGCUCCACGGCUUGGUAUCGAGGUUAUAUUCAUUUUUAAUGGCCGAAUUAAUGGAGCCGGAUUACGCGUCACUCGGCUCGAAUCAUUUCUUUGCAAAUCCCUGUGGGAUCGCGAACAUUCUCCAAUUAAACGAUCCUGUUGUGUCCUCGCUCCGACGAAUUGAAUUGAAUUAUCACAGUGUCCUUAUGAAAUUCAUUAAAAAUUCAUUAGACGACGCGACGCUUGGAGAUAAUUUGCAUCAAUGUUUGAGUUUGAUUAGAAAACAUUUUCAAUUAUGAAAGAAAUCGAAUGAUUCUAUUUCCGAAAAGCAUGGAAAAAUUAAAAUUGUUUGAUUAGAUUUUUGAAAGAAAUUCAAAGUUUUUCAAUGAUAAACUCUUUGUUUUGUAGAUCUACUGGUUCAAAUGACUGCGCUUGAAAGUUAUUAGAGUACAACUUAUGAUAUUUGGGGCAAUUUCGUUGAAAAGCAAGAAACACAGUGGCUGGGAAGUGCAUGCACGCGCGCGGACUUUCCGAUUGUUUUAUGAAAUCCGAGACAAUUUGUCGGGGAAUUCAGUGUAAAUGGCGCGAGAUGGGUGACGCGCGCGCUACCAGCGGCUGGCCGUUUUGUUGGAAUGUGAAAUGAGUCGGGACGAGAGGGAAAAUUAAUUUAGCUGGGGUACGGUGCAGAGAAGUCUCUCCACUUUGACAAGUGUCCGCUUUACCACGCACGAUUCGCCGGAUUAGCCGUGUUAACGCGUGAGAAUCUGCUUCUUCCGGCGUAAACUCGCUCCGUCCGCGAUGCAAAUUUCACGGCACGCGAGCCGAUUACGCGAAGAUUUCCAUUUCGUGCCUCGUCGCUUCGGAUUUUGUUUCCACCGGCCUAAAUCUGUGUGUUCAGAAUCGGAUCAAACUGAAACAGUUCAAUUUCUGAUUCCUAUAAUUAUUAUAAAUAUUCGUAAAUCUGACUGCAGUUAAAAGAAAUCUAAAUUCAUCAUUUCUCAUUUUUGUAAAUUUCUUGUUUUUUAAUUUAAGAACAACCAACAGUGUUUUCAAGAUGUUUUGAAAUCAGUCUCAAAGGAAAUGUGCUCUCCUUGUAACAUUGCAGUUUCUCUUUUAAAUACACGUAUUCGUUUGCAAAUAAAUCACUAGUGUACACAGAGAAGUUAACGAUAUUCCAAAACGGGCAGCGUUUCUACCUGAAAGUUAAAGCCCAUGUAACCCGAGAUUACCUGGGAUUUUCAGAAUUUUAUCUUUCCCGGAAGUGAAGGGAAGUGUGUGGUUAGACCGGCUGGUUGCAGCCCUUUGAAGCAUUUCUUCACUUAGCUUUACGGAAUCAAUAAUUCAAGAAUUUCUCGGUGCUCGUUUGCUACCAAAUGAAAAGACGGUGAACAGGAAAGAAAGUAUAAAAAAAGAAUUAAGAGAAUUGGUGUAUUUCAACGACCUAUCCACCGUGUUCUUCGAGUGGAUGGCCAAGGAGAUUGAAUCGACUGUGCAAAACUAACUAAAAUUUCUACCAAGUUUCUUUCUUGAAAUAUUUAAUGAAAACAGCAUUUCUCUAUUUACGAUCAUGAAAAGAAAUUUAUUGCUUCAAGAACUAUCGUGCAAAAAUGUUUCACCGCGAAAUCAAUAUUUUAUCGAAUAUUUCGAUACAGAGGAUACACAGUUUCAUUUGAUCGUUUGAGAAACAGAAGAAGAGUUUGAAUAUCGAGUGACUCGACUAUUACCGGGUAAUGAGGUUUCGAUUCGGUAGAUAGGAUUUUUAUGAGACAACAAAGGGAAAGUCGAAGCUGACGCUCGCGCUCGACUGACUAGGCGUAAUUUUCAUGAGCCGUAAGCUUCAGUCUAUUUCACAUGAAUGGAUAUACCAAAGUAAUAUUGUCCCGGGUAUUUGAUUUGCUUGGUUUAAAGCUCUGCUUUACGUCAAGCGAUUUUUCUAAAGUAUCUACAAUUGUUCAGAAUUAUUCGACAGAGUUAUUGUUCCAUGAAAUUUCUAAGAAAUUUCAACGUUUGUGCUAUCUCGAUCAUUUGAACCUUUUUAAAUUAUAUAAUUUAUAAUCUUGUUACACGAUGAAAGGGUUUCAGGUCGUUCAGUGGCAAAGUUAAAAGCUGUUUAACUUUUUAAGGCGGAGCAAAAUCGCGAGGUUUCGAGCAGCGUUCUGAAUAAAACAUAACAAGCUUCAAACGAGCGCAAUUCAUUAACCAACUAAAUGGGAACAUGUCGCUCGCAUGGCCAUAACUUUCGAAACUGCGUGCAAGCCAACUGCGAAGUUGCAUUUCGUGUAUCGAGCAGCCGAAAUAUUCAGGCUUGACCAACGACCGACCGCACAAUCAUUCACCAAUUUUAUCAUUUAGCCUCGACCGAUACAACAUUUCCUUGUCUGUCCUUUCCCCCCGAGCCUUUCUAUACCUCAUUAGUCCGUGAUUUUCAUUUUAUAGUUUCAACGAAAUUGCUUAGUUCGCGACUACCCUUAAUGAACGAUGUUCUCGACGUCCAUUGGAAAUUCGUUAAACACUUUUCUGACUCGUGGGAAACUAAUGAUACGUGAUAGAGUUCGAUUUUCCCUCGAAUUUCCUUAUUCGAUGUGCACUUUAAAUAUUCGUGUUUUAAUUAAAGUGAAAUUUUAGGAUGUUAAUUGUUUUGUAAUUAACGUUUAAAAUAUUUAAAUUACAUUUUUCCAUGAAAAGUAGACGAUGGUGAAAUAAACCAUAAAAUAACUUAAACAAAAUAUCAUCGAUGAUGCACGUCGACUCUGAAAAAAGAAAAUUCAAUUUGAAAUCCAUCGAUAUUGCAUUGAAUCGAAGGUGUUGAUCAACGAUCGAAGGAUUAAUCUGGCACUAAAACUAUCGUAUUUUUUUCGGUGUCUAAUUUUCCGCAUAAAAUGUUGGUCGUCCCCGAAUGAAAUUACAUCUCGUCAGUAUAAAAGCGUCGACCCGUUCCGGAUCGUUUACCAGGAUUCUUCGAGGGAAGUCGUGCGGGCUCGGUUCCUCGGAUACAUUCGCCGUCGACGAUAGUAAUGGCCUCGUCGUGAAAAGGACGCCGGAGUCAUUGUGCCGGCAUAAAGAAAGCGUGGAUGCGAGCCCAGCGCCCCAUUUCUACCCCUUUCUACCCUCAGGUUUUAUCUGUAAAUAAUACUUCCGUGCUUUCCGCGAGUUUAUACGUUAUUUCGCUGAUGUACAACGCACGCGUACGCGCACCCUCUCGCUGCUCCUGUUUCCGCCACCCUUCUAUCCGCGUUUUAUCCUCCCCCUUUUACCGCGCCGAACUUUACCCUAGUAUGUUUAAAUAAGAACGUCGAAUCAUCUUCUUUUGCCGACGACGUAAUAAAAACCACGGUUAUUUAUAUGCCACGCGUCAUUUUGUUUUCGGGGGUGGAAGAAUUAUACCGAGGUUCCUUUCCAGCGGUCCUAUUGUUCAAUGUUCUGAGAAGAACCGGGGGUAGAAAAAUUUAUCGUCAAUUUUAAGGAAUGGUCGUUUCGUGCCGGAUAUAUUGAUAUUGUUUUUAAGGUCAGUAGUUUUCUUCGGGAUCCGAAUUGAUGAUCUCUGAACGUUGGGUAGCUCAGAUAGUUCAGUUCUUUAGGAUAUGAUGGUACAAUCAUCUAAGUGAAGCUUUUGAUAAAAAAUUGUAUUUUAGGUGGAGAUCGUUUUGGUCUACAUUCGUGAAUUGAUAUUUCUGUUAGACCAUUAUGGAACAGUUAGUAUAUGAUAUUCAGAUUCUAAUUAACAUAAGUUAUUGUGUAGAUAUUAUUCAAAUAAAAGCUUCAUCGUGGACAAUAAACAAAAAUCCUUGGUGAAAAAAUUUAAUUGCAAGCUCGUUGUCUCCGCAGUAAAUUAUAAUAGACUGGUAGACAAAGGCAGAAAUAAGUAUAAACGUCCAUUUAUACUCAACCGUAACGUCACCGUAGCUACCCUCUCUUCCUGUCUAUUCUCUUCGUAUAUGUUAUGGUCUGCAUACGACGUCGAGUACAUCAUCCACUAUUUUCCUUUUUUCUCUCUUUUUUUGGAAAAUGAACAAGGAGAAGCUGUUGAGUAUAAACGACUCUUUGUACCUGUGGUAUAUUAAGGAAUAAAAAAUGAAACGAGAAGAAUCCAAACGUUUGUUAAAAGUUUAACAGGGCGUCAGAAUCGCGCACGUAAUUACGAUCUCUCAUCAAGGAACACGCAUCAUGCAACCUGCUUAUCGACUGGCCACUCUUGUAACGCAAGGUUUAAUGAACCGUGAUUUACAUAACAAUCAGCUUCCUAGAGAAAAUAUAACUCCUACGAUUAAUUGCCCUCUAACUCUCCGUCUACGCAACGCAAUUUUUAUUACCCGCCUGUGAACGAAACGUUUCCCUUUACCCGUUUCCAACCCCAUGGUGCGGUGCUUAGAUUCCGUGAAAAACGCUCGUCCAUUAACCGAGUUUGUCAACUUUAUUCAGGCCAGCGUGAAGCUAUGAAACGUCGUGUUAUUCAUGCAUGGCCGUGUAUCACGCAUCUUUUCCGCUUCGUGCAACCAGUUCAGAAAGUCGUCGUUUCACGAAAAUUUCUUUCGUCAUCCCUUUCAAAUAAAUCGACAGAAGUGCUUUCGAUCGUAUCUCAACAAUGCCAACCGUAUGAUAAAACAAGAGAUCGAACUCUCGAAGAGCAUAUAAUAAUUACAAAAAAUAUUUCCAACAAUAAGUGUAAUUUAUUUUGAAAAGAAAUAACAUUUGAUGAUACAAACCAUUUUAUAAAAUGGGUACACAUGAUUUUUUGGAUCCAUGUUUAUGAAAUAUCUUUUUAUUCCUUCAUUUUGAUGUAUACUAUAUCCCCCUGGAAUUUGGCGCAACCUUUUUUGCACACCCUCCGUGUAUCCGCACCAUCAUAAAAAUGUAAAACGACUUUAUUUAUAUGACGCGCGUGGUGUACGCACCGCACAGGCUAAGGGUGAAACUGACCCCGUUGGGAUGGCAUUUAGCUUCCGGUUUCGCGCACCGCUACAUUGUCCUUUUCCCCCCUUGUUGCCUGACAUCCUGCCGGCAUUUGUAACACAAUGGAGCCGGCGUAACUAGUUUCGGAUCACGUAGCUUGUCCUAAAAUAUUGACGGGCUCGUUGCUACGAUAAAUAUUAGCUGCAUUGAAGUUUGUAGAGUCGAUUCGUGAGAAUUUUGAACAAUUAGGGGAAUACGUUUUGUUCCUUUCCUCUCUUUCUACUAUUUCUGGUGAUUCAUUUAUCGUAUUGGUUUGAACAAUUUUCUUACGAUGGUAAAUACAAGUUCAGGAAAGAUCAGGAUUUUUCGCUCAAAUAUUUUAACAAUGGCAACGAACUAGGGUGUUGAAGAUACAUCCAGGGAGAUUUUACGCGUUGAGUAUAGCUUUUCGUCUAGAUAAAAGCACGGAAGUGUUUCGAGGUCAGCCUCGUUUCUUAAAAAUGUGGCACCCUGCUUGAGGCUGCGAUGGUGGUCUUAAAAUGUCUUCCUCGUCUUUGCCCCUGAAAUAGCUGUCUCCACCGAACACAUCUUUUUGCGAGACAAUGGACUUGCCGUCGCAUCCUGAGCAUGAAAGCUCCCAUAAAUGCUUCUUCUUUUAAUAUAUUAGGAAGGCGUGCAAGCAUGUUCGUGUCGGCUCUGACAAUAUUUUAUACAAGAAUCAUUUUCAGAUAAACUUCGCUUACAGUAUUAUUCUCGAUGAUUGUUACUGUUUCUUUAAAACACCAACUUCCCAUGAAAUCAAGUGUUGACUCGAGGUGAAAGUUUAAAUUUUAAUAGUCCUUCUAAAGCGGAAGUCCCCCGUGGUUUUGACGAGUGUUGUUCCGUGCACACGACCGUUCAUAUUAAAGCAGCCCUCAGGUCCGCCACUUAAACCACUCGACGGAAAAUGCAAAAGAAUCACGCGCCAACGCUCACCCCUUCGACGAGGAUUUCGUUAAUCUGCCCUGUCAUGCAUUCGGAAUGAUCCAGGCCGAGUGUGUACGUACGCGAUAAAUUUAUCGGCCCCGAUGAAAUUUCGGGCCUCGAUAUUGCCUUAUGAACGUCCGUACUGCGGGCGAUGAUUAACCGAAGAGAAAGGGGUUUGAGUCUCGUACACGGAUUAAAUUUAAUUUCUUCUCGCUUCGUUUAACACUUUGCUUUGUGCCCUGGAAGAGCACUGGGCGCAUUGUUCGAGAUUCUUCAUUCGUUUGCGUUAAAUGCAACGGGAGAAUUUAUUUUAAAGAAACUCGCAUUGAUGGCGGUCAGAAAAAGGUAAUUAUGCGGGCAAAUAUUUUUCAAAGCUCGUUUUCUAACAGUCGUACGAGGACGAAUUAAUUCCUGGUUCGUAUUUUGAACAGGAUAACGAGAAAACGAAUUAUAAUUUAUUCUACGAAUCCUGUAUAAAUCGGGAGCAGCUCGUUUGGGAAAAAGAUAUACCGAGGUUCGUGCGAAAGAGCCGAGCAACGAAGAUGCGAAAUUAUGAGGGUGCAAUCGUUCCGAUACGCGAGAGUCUCGCGAAUAUUUCGCGUUCUCGGGUAAUAAAAUGGACUUCACGUUUCAAGAGCUGCAUUCAUCGCGUCCGUUCUUUUCUUCUAUUUCCAUUUUUACCCCUUUCUGCUGGCGUAAAUAGAUUUACGAGCGGAUUGCAGGAUCGUUCGAGCGUUCCUUUAUUACCUAAACGAUGAAUGCACUUUUCGUUUCGUCGUCGCUCCAGUUUCUCUCCUCGCGAAUGAAAAUAGGUUUCGGUACGCAACGGCUAACCGGUUUUAUCGUUUGUUUCUUAUACCGCUACCAAAGAAGACAAUGAGAGUUUUGCGAAAUCCGUGAAAAUCUUAAUGAAAGUUCACGUGUCAAGUAUAUUGAAUUAUAGUGUCAAGACGUUCGUUUAAAUCGCUCCUCUUUAUCCGACACUUGUUAUGUGUGCGUACGCGAUAAAUCUGUCAGGCUCGUUGAAAGUUCGGCUCGUAACUUAGUAAGUUCGCGACAUUAUGCAAGUCCACAAAGGUUGAAUCGCGAAACUAGGAACAGCAUGGACGAAAGUUCAAGGAUCUCAUGCAAAUUUCAUCUUCUUCGGCUAAUAAAAUACAGCCACGUCUUAUGGUCGGCGUAAAGCCCGCAGAUUUCACGGCUGCUUGCAUAUCCUAUUCCUAUACUCUUUAACGCGUCGCCAUGCUGUUAAUUCGUACCCCGGUAUUCUCGGUAUUUUUCUUCCGCAUUUCUUUCUUUACUUUGUAACAACUUUUCACCGUUCAAAUUUUUUCGCCAGUGUAUGAUAUAUAGAAUCGUACGGUCACAGUAUGCAUCGAGAAUGAAAUUUUACGAUUCAAUGCCUCGUUUAAUAUUUAGCAUCGCUAGUGCAGUUUCAGCGGUGUUUGUAAAUAAUGAAAAAUCUUGGACGACGCAUUUAAAUAAAGAUAAGGUGAAACGCGCGAACGGUUGAUCAAUUUUUUAGGCGUAUCGUAAAAGCAAAGCUGCGACGAGGAUUCGGCUGCUAAUUUCUUCCUGAAUGGCCAAUAAAGUGCCAACAAGCGCGUAUAAAUCGUAAAAUUUGGACGGCCGUUAUGCGUGCGCUUGAUAAAUUCGCGGGAUGUAUCCGAAGAAGCGGCGGGUAGGUAGAAUGGGUGAAUUUAUCCGGAAGAACAAAAAGAGCGGAGGACUCGAGCGUCUGAUGCAAAUUCCCUGCUCUCUUCCAGCUAAUAAAAUUGCAGAGGCGAUGGCUCCGGAGCCAGCGAGUACGCUUAGCUGCUCGCCGCACUUCCGUCGCCCAGGAGGGUGUGUUUUCCAGCUGUGUAAACAGAUUUUAUGCGGGGCGUAACCACGAGAUGCACGCGGAAUAUCGUUCAUUGUCUAUUCCGAAAAGUUACUUACACCCGAUGACUCUUCUCGUCUAAUCUGAAUUCGAUAGCUUUUUUUCCCCGACCUUAAAGUGGUCUCAUGAAAAUAACCGAAGAUUCUGAUGCAUUUAAGAUACUAUUUCUUAGUCCUUCCACAUAGAUAUAUUUUACUAGCGUUAGAAAUUUAAUAAAAUAACAGAAAUCAAUUAGUAACGCAAGAGCGAAAAAUGCACCAUUUGCUAACGAAACGUGUGAAUUUAUUCCGUGAUCUGGAGCUGGAUAUUCAGCAAUACAAAGAGUUAUGGCUUCCAUAAAUAUUCCAAACGCAACAGUAUCGUUAUAAGUAUUCACGGAGAUCGUGGAGAAGAAAAUCGACCACUCGUCGGGUUAUCUGUGUACAAGUAAAUCGUUGAUUAAUUCGCAAGAUCGAUCGCGGAACGAGAGCAAUUCGUCCCCGGCGUCAACGCGGCGAACGAUUAAUUGCGAUUGCUAAGCGAACUGGUCAGCUGAACAACGAUUGUCUGACUAAUGGAAUUAAUGAUCGGUCGGUUUCGUAACGCGAUCGGUGAUAAAUUCGAUUCUUAGUCGAGCGGAUCGCUUUUGUCGGGAAACUAUGCAGAGCGAACAGAACUUGGAAAUCACAGAAGUAUUUCUGCCCGAUCUUACAAUCCUCUAUUUAACUCCUCUUUCAUAUCAGCCUCGCGAAUAAAACUGGUCGCAAAAGCGAAAGAUAAAAGGGGUUAAAAAGGGAGAAGCAAUGAAAGCUCCUCGUGGCAUGCCUCGCAACCAAGUUAUCGCGAGCUGCUUUUCUCUCGAAACCCCUGUAUUUUGCGGUGGUAAAAGGUAGCACAGGUCGUUGGUCGUUGAGUGGACUGUCACAAUGAGUUCACAGGAGAAGCAGCAUGGAACGAUAGCCACCGGCAAUCGUAGCUGCAUAACCAUGGAGACCCCUGUGUCGUUCAGAUAUCGUCAAUUGUGUGGAUAGUUACACGCCAUCGGUUGAAUUAAUGCCUAGGAAUUCUGUUUUAGGGUGUUACGUUGAAUUUUUGAAUCCUUCAAAGUUAAUAUAAAAAAUAUAAAACCUGCUUUAUUUCAAACACUGUCGUUCCUCUUUCCUUUUAGAAAUUUUAUUGUAGCAGUUGCGUUAUUUUUUUUUUUAAGUCAACCUAAAAGAUAGCAUCAACAGUACGAUAACAAAGAACAUACUUUUAUACGAGACUGCUGCUUAUUUAGCUAUUUUGAGUUCUUAACGAAUGCAGUAGCUUUUGAAAGACCCGCGAGCUUAAAUUAUCUCGUUUCUGUUCUUCCCUGGCAACCAACCUGGCACAAAGUCCAGACACGUUUAGGCGUUUUCAACUUCAUUUUCAUAUCUCGCGCACGUGUUCUCACUCGUUCGUUCGCCGUUAAAUCCGAAUUGAUUAACGAUACUCCGAAUUUUAUAGCGACCUGAUAAUUUAAUUAAUGGCAAAUCAGUUUGCGACACUAUCACGAGAAGCGCUUAAAUAAACUUCCUCUCGCAUGUACCGAGAAGCAGGACUAAUUUAGAGUAAGUUCGAGGCAGUAGGGAUGAUCUAAGACUUUCGUACGACGAUGGCCGUCGUUAAGCCGUGCAGCAUGUGCAAGCGUCGCGACGCGUGUACAUGCACCUGGUGUGUAUCUGCUUGUUCCUCCUCGUCCUCGUCGCCCUCCUUCUUAGCACGUGACGCUAGCAGUUUCAGAAUUUCGGCAAUUAGCGACGCUGACAAUACCGUCAGCGAUGCAGACAGACUUUGCGAAACGAGGCCGGGAACACGGCUCGCUAUUAAAUUAAUCGACGUAAUCUCUGUUUACCAGCGGGGCUGCGCGUUUUCCGUGAAGCCCGGCUAGGUAUCGUGGUUUAAUUGCGAGAAGAUAAUGCUCGGGGAAAUUCGCGGCGGACCUGGCCGUUAUGGUCGCCGAUAAUCGAGCGGAAUUGUAAUUCUCGCCGGUUGUAAUUGCAAUUAGGACCGGGAACUCGAGACCGCGCGAUCGUUUCGGAAGAAUGGAGAUUUAAAAUAUGGAGAUUGCGCUCGACGAAGGCUCAUUUCGCUUGAGUAAUUAGUUGGUACGAUAGCGAUGAUAUUGUUGCAGCUAAUGCAACCACCAGGAUAUUCGCUGGCAAUGCGUGCUCGGCAGCUAUUAAGGACACGAGGUGACGACCGUCGAAUCGUUUCGUGGAUCGAAAAUUGCUUUGUUCUGCUGCUGAUACUGGUGAAAAACGUCUGCAGUAGUUUUGCGGAUCAUUAGAUAUAAGGGUAUAAAAAAUAGACUUGCAGAUUUGUUUUAUUGUUUUAUUAAUUAUUUCUUUCUAUGACUAAAUACAUUUAUUUAAAAAUGAGUCAAUUUUAAAAUUUCAAUUCCGAAGCUGAUAAGAGCAGUAAUUAGUAGUCGAAAGAGGUAAAAGGUCAGCGUAAUACCGUCGAAACGAUGAGCUCCCGUUUAUUUGAAAUAAUAAUUAGAUUCGUUUUGUUAUUUCAAUGAAGAAGCACGGAUUUGAGAGGGUUUGCGUGGGCAACGCGGUAUGCAGAUCCGAAAAAUAGCGAGAGCAGAAAAUAAACUUCCAUGCUUUGAGUCAAAAUAAACAUGCCCCUCGUUCGGAUUCGUUCAGAAAAAGCUCCAGGUUUCUGAAGCUUCGAGGGUCGUGUACCUAGCGCAGAAAUAAUACUCGAUCGCGGUUUAGUGGAUAUUGCGGCAUAAUCGAACGGUAUGAUACGAGAAAUUUUAUCAUGAAUCUCGGAAAUCACGCGAAAAAUGGAGAUAGAAAAAUCCAAUGGGUUAUCUCAGUUAAGGAAUUAUUUUACGCUUUCGUCUCGAUGUGUCGUUAACCUACUUCGCUAAUUAAAUUGAAAAUUUAACCGCGAAAAUUUAUUUCGCUCCUUUUUAUAAAUAUCAUUUCUCGUUGCUCAUCAGCUAGAUUAUAUCUGUAAAUAGAAUAAGGUUAAAUGGUCAUUUUGUUCUCUGAUAAAUCCCAUUAAAUUCUGUAUUAAGAUCCAUGGUCGGUGAUACGGUGAAACGGUCGCGAAUAACACGCAACCUCUCAACGGCUGCGAACGCUUUCGUUAGAUAGAAUUUAAGAGGUGCAUUCGUCACGAAUUAGAAACGAAGAUAACCCCCUUUUGUUUUCAUUUGCAUCGAGCAACCGUGUUAAAUGCACCUUCUGUAUCGGUUGCCGGCGAUCUUAUCGUUGGCCUGAUAACCGCCUUUCAGCCUCCGGGGUUGCUCGCAAAUCUCGGAAACGUUUAACGCUUUUUCACUGUCGUCGACCACGGAACCAGCCAGGAUAUUCACCCUGAAUUCAAGUAGACUCUGCAUUCGACGAUUUACGACAGUUCUCUCGGCUCUCUACUCGCUCGAACCUUCUACCUUUUCGCGCUCUUUAUCAGCUAAAAGGCAUUAGAGAGCCGUUUUCGGAUCGACCCAUAAAAGAUAAUAUAUUUUGCGUGAAACACAGCGUAACCUUCGCCUCCCAUACUGCUUUCCUGAAAUCUGAAAACUCGAUGCAGAUUACUUCGUAAAAGUUUGCCCGAUUACGAUGAUCUGUGAGCUCUUUCGUCGACCUCCAUCAGCAUCUUGUCUUUAUACAAAUAUUCAGUUGAAUUAUUUUACUAAGAAUUCCUAUGCAAUUUAUCCUGCGUUUCGAAACGGAUCGCAUCUUCGAUCAAUCACGACUGCUUCUUUAUUUUUCUAUGCAUACACUCUCGCUAGUAGUAUGUUGAUUUAGAACACCUCGUGGUAACAUCCAGCCUAACAUUCUCUAAUAACUCAGGCUGGUAGCAUUCAAAUAAAUAAAUUCAAUUGUAAAAAUAUCCUCGAAAUAUAUCAUAAUUCUCUGGUGGUAGUCAGUAGAGAGGAGGGUUUUGAACUGCUUGCGAAUAUUUGCAAACGGAUCUUGACUUAUCUCGAGAUAAGUGGAGGUCUGCGUGACCUAGCAUAAGAAUUCCUUUCCACCGUCCAUUCAAACGAAUUUUUUCCUCCGACGAAAAGGGGAGAAAAAGUUUCCUUCCCGCGGGAGACGAAGGAGAAUUACGUGGGUACACGGCUUCUGAUUAAAGUCCUACAGGCAAGAUGUUUGAUAAGCAGAUACUCCCGGUGAACGUCGUCUUACGACGUACCGGUCGAUAGCGAAACUCCCUCGAAAACUGCGACAACGUGUCUGAGAUCUGUUCACCGGCAAGCAAUGAUCUGGAGAUAUCGCAGAGAAGGGUCUUGAUAAUUGCUCGCAAACUUUGAUUCGCAGAAACGGAUCGUGAAUUAUUUUUGCCAGACGUAUUCUAAGAAUUAAAAAGCUGAAACUUCGUCAGUAUACACUCGGUAUUGUUUAAUCUUACCAAUUAAUCCCGGCAACUCGGAGGAAGUUUAUAAAACCCUGAAGUUUCUCAGUUUCUAAGGGUACGUGCGUAGUCGCGAGUUUAGUCGUUAUCAUUGGCGUGGAUCUUAAAUCGCGGAUUAUUCGCGAGAUAAGGAACAGAUGCAACGAAUCCUUCCGGUAUGCGCGCCUCGAAUAGACACGUUUCAACUGUUCUCGCUUACCAGAUGGUACCCCGCAGGUUUGUUCUCAGAAGAAGAUCUGGCUGGCGAUGGAGAAAGAGAGCGAAAGCUAUGGGAGAAUCAAAAAGACAAAGAGAUAGACAGAUGAGAAGGCGGAGAGCGUGCCACGAGGCACAGAAGUUUCUUCGAGUCGAAACGUAGAGCAAGUUGGAAGCGAAUGGAAGUGGGAUAAAUUCGUCGAAGCCGAACCGAACUGGGCUGAAUCCUAAUUACGACGACCUGGAGAAAAUAGCGAACGUGACCCACGACUGAACUUCAUCUCCGGAAACGAGUUAAGAGGCUGGGGGAUGGUUGAACGAAUGGCAGGAAUAUCGCUGCCAGCGAAAGCUUCUUCUCGCAGAUGGAUCGAGGUUACGCGUCCAUUUCGUUCCGUGGAACGUCCCAGGGGUUGCAUCGCGCUGUCAACCUUCCUUCGCAGAUGAAAUUAACGCCUCGACUUGUCGCGUCCCGCUUGGGCUGCUGCCCUGUCUUGCAACUUCCGGGGUAUGAAAGUCGUCAAAGUUUUCGGAAAAUCUUCCUGGAAGGUGAAAAUCUUCCAGCUUCAUACUUGGAGUUCUACCCGCCUCCUAAUAUUCGUAUUCGUUUUAGAAUUAAUUAAGAGGAAGCAAGACAGUCAAUCGAAAUUACAAAAUAUUUAUUUCAAUUUUAUUCAUGGAUUUGCUAAUGGUAAAUUGUCGCGUAACUAACUGAAAUCGUCUUAGUUGCCGCCUCCUUAUGCACUCGGGAGUUCGCGUUCAAAGGGUCGAAAUUUACAUCGACCACUCGACCCGCGAAACAUCUCCCGGCGGAGACCUUGAAACUUUGAACUCGCUCAACGGGGACCAGCUUCUCUCUGCUCGAAAAUUAGCGCUUCUGCUUGAUGUCACGUCUCGCAUCUCGCGCCCUGCUAGCUGUUCUCACGACCUUUGCCCUCCGACCGUGGAACGUACGCUUUCUUCGCACCCUCGAAUCACCCUCCCGGAAGACGUCGCGAAAUUAAGCGCGAUUCCCGAGAAAUUAUGGAGCGUGCUUGCAGGCAGAUUAAUAACGAUUCUCAUGAUGAUUUUAUGGAAAACAGUUCUUUGAAGCUCGAAGUGAGACGUUUUCUGUCUUAUCACCGAGGGCUUUGUUUGAUAAAAAAGAAAAAAGAAAGUGCUGAUAGAAACUGAAAAGUGAUUCAGUAACGUUAGUUGAGACUUCGUAAUCCAAAGUUUUGUCCGAGUUAAUUUUAAAGUUAGUCGAGUUACCCUCAACUUGGAAACUUUUGUUGAUAUAAGAAGAAAGAAAGAAGAUGAUUGGAUGGAGAAACUGUUCCUGAUUGUACGAAACGUUGCACCCUCAAGUGUUUCAGCUUUGAAGAACAAUAUCGGAAGGGUUAUUAUUGAUGGGAAUAUUAGGAAUAAACAUUUUAUAAAAGCUGUUCCUUUCUUAGCUAUCCACAGUCCAUUGAUGCGACAAUAAUCGAUAAUCGUGGGGGCUGUAAAAUGGAACGCGUUGAUAGGUUUUCUUACAUAAAUCACGGGACUCUAUACUGUUCAGGCGUAUCAGGUUUUUAGGGCUUCGUGAAGCAUCGUUGAACUGAAACAGUAACCAUAAACUCACAUGCAACUUUUCUGCGAAUAUUAUACACGAAAUCCAAUAUAAUGAUUAUUUUAUUGCCUAGCCUUUGUUAUAGUUUGCCGCGGUUUAAUUACGCGUGAAUACAAAGGGUAUGGCUUAUUUUAAUUCAAACUCUACAAUUUGUAGCGUCUUAGUUUAUAAAGGUCAAUGCGUAUACAAUAGACGAAGUCUACCGGCGAAACCGGCAGAGCUGGUAUCGCGCUCAAGGAAAAGAUAAUCCCUUUUCAUAAACACUCGAAUUAUCGGCGAGCGACCGAGCUCGACCAUACAUUCAGUCGUUCUUGAACCUUCCUCAAGACAACACGCGAACAGACGGAGUCCUUCCAAGCGAAAAUAUAUUGUUCUUCCAUCAAUCCUCAGUGCGUAAGGCGAGACAAACGAGCAAAUGAAAAUCCGAACGCGAAACAGGUGGACAGGUAAAUACGCUGCCAAUCAUAACAUUUAUUGUUCGGUGCCUGGUUCGAGGAAUACGUAAUACGAGGGCAGAAUGUAAGUUUUUUUCAAUUUUCUUGCUCAUUUUUCCUCUGCACGGGUACACAUAUCCAAUCGACGAAAGUUUGUUCAGUAGACAACUCGAUCCUGUUACUCGGAUGAAACUUUCUAUAGAAUUAGUUUAGUUAUCAGGGCACGAGCUACUUUCGUUUGUAACUCACGAAUCAGACUUACGAACAAGAGUUUCGAACAGUUUAUCAUAACAUCGAUAUCGAUUCAUUAUUCGUUAACGUUUUGUCCAACAAUUAUCAGGGAUUUGACGUCUAUCGGGGCAGAUUAACCGUUCCCUAUGCUGAUCAGCAAUUAAUGACCAGUUAAUUCUACGUGCUAAUGAGGUUCUUACUCGGAUCAACCAGUUUACCAGUGAUACUGUUGAAUUCCACCCUCUUCCCUCGAAUUCUCAAUAGGUCGUUUCUCUAAUCGUUGAUACAUAUCACUGUCAAUUACGUGGCAGAUAGUCUGCACUUCCAAUUACUCUGCAUUACAAAGUAAGAUUAGAACCCUUUAAUUUUAUCAUAGACAAGAGUUUUUGGUAUUUAAAAUUGAAGAGAAAUUAUUUUUAUCUUGCACUUGAUACUAAUUCAAAUGAAGUACAGAAUUUUUGGUUAAUUAAAAAUUCAUUAUUGCUGUAGAUUAAGUAUGGAGCCAAGACAGAAAACCCUCGUUUUAUUAAAUGGAUACUAAAUUAUUCUGGUUAAGAAGUUGACAUUUUUAUUCGUAGCAUUAUAGGUUGAUUCCAUGGAUUUAUUAAUAAUUUUUUAAGUGGAUGCCCAGACAGAUGAAAAAUUGAAUGUAAUUAGUUGACCCAGACAUUCUAAUUAUUUCUGUGCAUAAGAUUUUAAAAAUAGCUGCUGUCACUUCACGAAAAUUGUUUCACGUCUGGAAAGAAAUUAGUCCAAAUCUAAUAAGUCAACAAGCAGGAUGGAUUUAUGAGUUAAAAAAGGACUUUCAUAUAAGUGUUAAUGAUGAUGCCUCGUUUUCACGCGUCCAAUUCAUCUCUUUUGAAACGUUCUGUACGUCAGACAACGGAGGAAACGAGAUUCCUGCACGUGCGAAUUCAUAAAACAUUCAUUCGGGUCGUUUCUCGCGACGUAACGGCCUCGCUGAACUUCUACCCCAUGCUCUCCGAUGACAAUGGGAAGAAAUUGAAUGUACAACGCGGAAAAACUGCUUCUCCUCUUUCGCUUGAGAGCACGUGCCGUGUAUCUGGUAACGCGAGAUACGAUCGUUGAUUCGACAGGGUCGUAUUCUCAUUGACUAUGAAUUUAUAACGGCAUAUUCUUCUCGUGAAUUACGACGGUUGAUAUCUUAACCAUUCACACGAGUUGUAUUAACCCUUUUCUUCUUUAAGUAAUCAAAUCCUCGAAUAUUUUAUCGCUCUUUCCAAAGCUUAAAUUAUAAACUAGUCGGUCGUAUAUCUCCAGAUUCCCGGUCGCUGUACAAUAAAAUAAACCACAAAGCAAUUAUCCAUAACCUACAAUAAAUACAGUGAAAUUCGUCGAUAGCAGCGAUUUCCAUACAAGCUAGCUCAAAUCCCAGAACUCGUUCGAGGCUGACCAGGGAGGAUCAUAAAUCUCUGCAAUCUCUAACGAACGCGUUAUAUAAAAAUCGUAGAGCCUGUGUAUUAUCCGCGGGAUACAGCGCGGUAUAGAGCGUGUACGAUGGAAAAAAAAAUGCCUUUUUCCCUCGAGCUGGGUACGCUCCGACGUCGGUUAAUCGAGAUUUUUAUCCUUUCUUUAUUUAACGAAUUUCCCGGGGAAACGAUCUUAAUUGCGAAUCGCGUUACUUUCGCGAGUCCGCGACACGCAGGGCGGAAGAACGAUAAAGGGAUUACCGUGGUGUAGAUUGCGCCGUAAGAAUUAUUGGCCUGCUGCCGAAUACGAUAAUCGCGAGCGAGCGAGCUUCCGUAGCGAUCAAUCUUCAUCGUUUGUCGAUCGCGACGCGAGCGUGUCGCGGAGCCGGCUCGAUCAGCGGAACGAUCAGUCAUUGAUUCUUGUCCUUCGGGGAUGUAUUAUUGACGCAACGAAACGAGGGUUGCGUGGCAGGGAUUACGUGGUACGAUGUUCCGGUGGCUGGAAAACAGACGGCGCCUACGGGGUGUCGUCGUCGAGAGAAAAAAAUGAAUGGCACCCUGUCAGGACGUCCAAACAAUUUCCACGCGCGUCCUUGCUGGCCAAAGACGUUUGCAGAGUGAAAUGUACAUUACUUGGACAUGUUUGAGAUCGUAUUAGAUUAUUUAUCUGCAAAAUCUUCAGCAGCUGCAAUUUGUGUUGAGGCAUCUUUAAUCGAAGAGAUUUAUAUUAUUUUAUAAAGAGGAAGAGCUUUCGAAAUUUUUUGAACUUAUUUAGUAUUUGUUCAUGGUGCAAUAAAAGAAGGGAAUAACGUGGAAAUUUAAGGGAAAAAUUAAUCGAAUAUUUACGAUUACACCGGCUGUUGUUGUUCUAAAAAGUUGCAGCUUUCGUUGCAAUUAUCGACAACGCGAUAGACUAUUAUUAAUAGCCGCACAAUGCGAAUUGCAGAAUACAUUGGGGUCGUACAGAUACAUUUUUUUCCUCGUAAUUGGAACUGAUUCGGAAUCGACGAACCGAUGAACGAAGCCCACCAGACAAAUCAACCGAAUCCCAAUUACCAAUACACGACUGCUUGUUAUAAUUUAUGGAAUACAACGAUCGUGCUGUAGCCAUUUCAAUUUCGAUAUCUAACAAACGGAUGUGCGCUAUUGCUGCUUCGAUUCACGGGGUUCAGUCAGAAAUUCAAAGAGAAUGAUAUUCACUUUCGGUUCAAUUCACCAUUUUGUCCUCUUUUAUUUUUUUUCCCCCUAAAAGUAAAAGGUACCUAUAGAAAUCAUUUCAACCGUAAAAAUGUCUCUUAAACACUUAUUCAUUCAUAAAAUUGUAAGUGUAAUUAAUUAAGAAUUUUGAAUAACUUUCCGUCGGAUUUUAAUUAUCGAAAGGACAGCUUCGCAAACGUGUUUCCUUUUCUUUCGCCUUCAAAAUGCCGUGUCCAUGAUUCGGUAUGCAAGUCACGAGCGCGAAACGGUGGAGAAAAGUGCAAAAGGGUCGAGAGUGUAAAUUCAAAUUAGCUGGAGAUUGUCCGCGAACGUGCGAUCUAGUAAUCUCAUUUAGGUGCAUUUGCUCCGUUAAUCCUGAGAAAUCGUAAGACUUAAAUGUAAUUAGAAACCUAUAAAUGAGCGGCGGUUUUCGGCCGCACCGACGUUCCACGGCCACGACAAAUUGGUUUAAUUUCCUGCUACGUUGGCUGUGCCAUUUUGGAAGAAUAAGAAUUCAUUCGCUGUUUCACGAUUCUCGUUAGACAAAUCGGAUGAACUACAUUCUACGAGCCUCGAUCCUAUUAAUUAGAACCAUAUCCUGUUUGAUGCAACUAGAGGAAAUGACUUCUUCCAUUAGCGAGUUAAUGAGAGAGCUGAGAAAAUUAGAGUAAAACACGAGUCAGAAGUUUAUUUACAAUCAUUAAAUUUCGCUUAAUGGUAUUAAAUUUCUAAUUAAAACACGAUACUUUGAUAAAGUUACCGAGUACACGGCGAAACUAUGCACUUCGAAAACUCGUGUCAGCUAUUAAAAUUUUCCUACCACAGUUUGAUCAUUUCAAUAUUUCAUCAAUUUUCUAAAAUAAUUUCAUUAAUUUCCCCGAUAGUUAAACUUUGCGUUACAGCUUGCAAAUAUUUAAUAUCCCACGUGCUUUCUAUAAUAACUAAAGUUAGUACCUAUCACUGAAGUCUACUAAUUACAAACAUUCGACGGUGUCUCCUAGCGAUGCAGAAAGGGAGAUAAAUACGUGGAAUUAUCAUUAGUACCGAAAACCGAUUAAUAAAGGAUGUAAGCUGUUGAAGGGAGGGUGGUAGAAUUCGAAAUCAAAGGAACUCCCGAGCGUGCACGCAGCUGCAGUGUAACACGCACCGGCAGCCUUCGUGUAUAUUCUCCGAUCGAAUGUAUAAUCAGAAGGCAUAAAGUGCUUACGAUCUUGUAAAGGGUGGAACUGGUGGGCAGAGGGAAAACGGUAAGAGGAUUUCGCGAGCAAUACGCGAAAUUCAACUGUAGGGGGUAAGAUUUAUCGUGAAUAGCGUGCAAUCUUGUACCGCUAGGCGACGUAUGCCGGAAACAUUCCACCCUUCAGUUUAAAUCUUUUUGUGUAUCUAUCAUGUUGGGACAGGGUGAAGUUAAUCUCUGGUUAGUCUGUUAUUCCACAAUGCUUGUUCGCUUGCAUGAUGCUCAAUAAAUUCGGUGAACUUCAUUUAUCUCUUUUUACCCGAGUCAUAAAGCAGACAGUGUCAUAUAUUUUUGAAAAAGAAAAUGUACAUGCAAAGUGAAAUAAGUAAUAGAAAACUAGUGUUUAAUAUUCAACAAGUUUAUUAUCUUUCGUUAGAAAAGAAGAGUGAAUCGAGUCAAAUUAUUUGACAGGAAUAAACGUCAAAAAACAUUGAUAGAGGAUCGGGAAUCGUAAUAAAGGAAAGCCGCAAUAUCGAGAACGCAGUGUUAGUAGCCUUCCAUUCUGUUCCUGUUGCUCGAAUGUUUCCCGAUAUCCAGCGGCGGUUCGCCGACUGCGACUAAAAAGCAUUGCAUUGUUCGGUGGAAAACGCGGCAGGGAUGGCGAACCGUUCGCCAGCAGCCACCGAUCGACGACACACCCCUUCUUGCAGCCCCGGGGCUGCGGGAUACUUUUUAUUAGUUUCUCGAGGUGGCAAUUAAGUGACCGUGCUUCUGGCUCGCGUUUCUCUUUCGACGCGUCUCUCGCUUCACCCUGUCUGUACGUCGCACGUUUUUCCUCUACGGGAACCACCCUUAACGACACUCCACCACUUCUUUCCCGUUCAAUUAGUCGACCGUUGUUUUUCCACGGCGAAUCGAUCAUUAUUGAUUCACGAGCGGCCACGUUCGAUGGAGCGGCGAUUACUGUCGGGGGGGAAGAAAAACGAGAAAAGGGGUUUGCUGGAUCGGCGAAUCGUGCGAAAAUCGAAGAACAAAAGGGACCCUAUUGGGAACUGAAUUUCGGGAUCCGUUUUCCCCCAUAAAGGAAUUAGUCGGAUCGCUGUCGAUGUGCAUAAUCUCGUCGCGUUCGGUGUUUUAUGGAAAUGAACUUUCCUAUAUCGUUGGCGAUUAGAAACGAGAUAGCGACCGUGAACAGUCAGGAAUAAAUGAUGUUUUAUCGAAUAUAUAUGUAGAUAAUUUCCAGUUCAUUAAAUACAUUAACGUGGAUUACCUCCUCCAGAUGAUGUCUCAAUGAUCCAGUAUUCAAUUAAAUGUUGAUUUUCACAUAAUUAUCGAAUCUUUAACGAACCUCGAUUUUAAUGAACUCUUUAAGGCUCGAUAAGAAAAUAGAAUCGUGAAUGAAUGGAAUCCACGAGAAAUCGCGAGAUUUCCUUUUCGUCGUCUUGAAGAGAAUCCUCAGCAUCUACGAAUUAAUAACCUUCGUUGAAAUGGUACUUAAAUGGCUUCGUUAAUUUUGCUCAUUUAGUAGAAUUUUUGCUAAUUAUUUCUAGGGUAAUUAGUAGUUGCUAACAGUUUUCAUCAGCCUACGAUCUGGUUUACAUUCUAUCGAUCUCAAAGUUGCAAAAUGUAAGUAAAAUCGAUUUUCCAAUAUUUAUUUUAAAUAGAGUAAAAAGGUAUUGAAACUUUCUACAAAGCAAUAUUCUCCUUUGUGAUUUUAUUUUACUCGUAUUUUAAUUACUUCCCACGUAUUGGUGUACCAUAGAAUCGUGUGAAACGUUCUCGAUAAAGUCAAGAGAAUAAAACAAUCUCUUCUCGGUAUUCGAUUUUAUUAGUUGUUCUACGAUAUAAACUACAAUUUCAUCGACUAACCGCGCCCGUAGCAAACAAACCUAAGUGUCGAUAAAUUCAUCGAUAAAGAGAGAACACAGAAGAGAACGAUUUCUUUAAAAAGUUUGCAAGAGAAAUAGCCUAUAAAGAGAUGAUAGCCAUCGUGAAUGACCCUGGAACAUGAAAAUAUUCCGCGAUGAGCGGCAAGAAAUUGAUCUAGUUAUAGGUUGCAGCCAUUCGCCGACGAGUAUCGUUAUCAUAGCGGUAAGGUAUUACGAUAGGAUCGUUCGAUCGAUCGAUUGUCAGUGCAAUCUUUCCAGCCGCGAAAUCGUUACAGCCUUUCGCUAGCGUUAAAUCGUUUCACGCAAAUUACCCUCGUAAAUUCGUGGAACUCGCGAGCGACUUUUCAGUCUCGUAAUACCGUGUAAACGUAUAUACGGCACGUUUGUACGUUUUCAUGGGAGAUCCCUUUUCCCCGUUUCCAUUCUUUUUCUUCGGUGCUAAACGUUUUUCACGUUGCGAAAAAAUUAUUGCGUGAAAAAAAAGAGAGUAAUUUGAACGGAAACAAAAGAGCCUCUGUCAAUUUAAAUUCGGAACUUUCAAUGUUACAAACAAUUAUCUUUUUAAUAAGGAAAUAUCGAUAUACCGGUAAGAUAUUAGUAAUAACACCUCUUUGAUCAACUAUCCCUUUUACUAUACGACCCAUCGAUGGCCUCUCAAUUCCUUGCACGAUCCUAAGAUGCAGGAAAUACUAUUGAGGAAAUAGUACGUGCUGCUGGUUGUAAGAUUGCUCGGGGUAUUUGCAUCGAAUUGCAAUACAAUCAAGAGAAUUGACGUUCUGGGGAUCCAACGCGAUCGUUUUGGUAGCUGAACACCGAUGCGUGUGCAAUAUUCAUGGUAAUCGAAUUUGGUAAUGCGAUAAACGUUUAUUGAUAAGACACUUUGGGGAGCGCUCAUUCGUAAUACCGUUUCCGCUGUCGACAUUAAGGGAGAUAUACUGAUUGUUAAAAAGAAAGAAUUUUCUGUCCUUCUGAUAACUUAAAUUAACUAUUAUUCUCUUUUUUUCUUUUUUUUUUUUAAAUUUUCAAUUCCUCGUGUGAUAAAGGAAGGAGAUUCUUAAUAUUCUGACGUAUUCGCGACUUUGAUAUGUCACAUAGUCACCCAUAAAAUCAGAAUCUCUCUACUGUGCGUUAUCUCGAGAGGAGCGAAAGUAAUCCGAGAAUAUCCAAGACGUGAAAAUAUGAGAAAAUCCACGGUCCAAUGGAUCCUAGAAAUCCAUGCAAUCGGGGGUAGAAGAGAUUCGUUUGACCUUUCUUGAUUGCUCGACGCCCGAAAAAUAUCGAAAACGAUUCUGAACGCGGUCGAUUCUCUGCGUGGAACUAUUCGGCGCGAGGGGGAUAUAGGUCAGGACAAGGUUCCUGUGCCGUUCACAAUGGGAACAACAACGGCAUUGUCUAGGCAAGCGGUGAUAAACGGCGCCAUGAUAAAACCGGCCAAGCACGAAGCUGAUGGGUUUCGCUGGCUUGAGGGAUGACCGUCCUGUUGUUUCGGCAAAACCACCCUUCCAUCCUCUGCCGCUCGUCGCCACUCGACUGCAUUUUUCCACUUUAUCAAGCCAUUGCUUGAUCCUCGCCCAUCCUCUUCCCCUCCGCCAGUAACUAUCUUUUAUUUUCUAUUUUAACGUCGGUUUCAUUCACCUUUGGCAGGCUGCUGGAUGCGAAAAAUAUUCUCGAAUAAAUUGCAAUUUUAUGUUCUCUUGGUCAUUGAUCAAACGAAUUUUUUCAAAAGGUAUCCGUAGACGAGGGAACGUCGCUGGUGAUGUCCAUUUGUGUGUGAGAUAUGGUUAGUUCAGUUGCAGAUAAGGGAAAAAUUGAUUCUGAGAUAAUAGGAAUAAGUUUAAGGGAUGAAUUAACCCCCUUACCAAAAUAUCGAGGAAUUCAAAUGCUAUUCUUAUAAAUUUCAAUGAAUUUUUUAUUCAGUUUCUUUGAAAUAUAUAAGUGGUGUUGGUUUUUAUCUUAACAGAGUGGAAGUGCUUUGAAAGAUACGAAUAAUUAUUAAGUUAUUAAUCGUCUAAGAUAUUACCAUUUUUUUUUUCAUCACACUAUAUGCAACGUUCGCGAGGAUUAAUUGAAAACGCUGCGUCGAAGAGUAUCGUUGAAUAAACAGGGUAAACGUUGCAUCUCUCUCCACUUCUGCCUUCAUAAUUUAUUAUAAAUUCCGCCUUUCAUAAAUUCUGUAAUCACUCCCCUUUGUGAAAUUGCUCGACGAACGGAACGGAGUCGCAAUACGACGAGACCAGUUCUCUCGUUUUUAAGGCAAUCAUUUUUAUUUAUUUAUUAUUAUGUUUUUUUUCCUCACCAUCCCAGUCGAAAGUCCCAACGAGGUGAUUAAAAGCUUCUUAGACGGAACUUUUAAAAUUCCACCUUUCUUGUUUGCCUAGAAAGGGAAUUCUUUUCAACUUCCGCUCUCUACAAUAUCAGCAGCGAUCAACGCCACUACCGUGCUCGUCCUUUGAACGUGCCUUAUAAUUCAAGGAACCGAGAAAAACAAUGGUGUAUUUGCAAAAUUCGUGCAAGUAGUCUUAUGUAUCAUUUGCUUUAUCAAUUUUGAUUUAAAAAAGGUUAACAUUCGAGUGCAUAUAAAAUAAUUUUUAAUUAUUACACCGAAAAAUGGAUCUAAUUUUAAUUGUAAGUUUCUUUUAAAAAAUUCUGUUGAUAUGAAUGAUAAUUAACUUUAAUUAAGGUUCAAUUAAGGAACCAUUACUCUAGAACAACGAAGAAUUUACGUAUAAAAACCUUUAAACCUACGUGAAAAAUGGGACGGAGUUUGCCGGAUCCCCCGUUCAAGCCUUAACCGAAGAAUUUAUCCAAGGCUAAGUAUCAAAGAAAUUUUCAAAGUAAUUAUAAGUACGGUAUCGCGCGAAAUUACUUUCGGUGAUGGUGUGUUCGUUACAUUGAAAAAUAGGGGGUGUCAGUGGUCGUACGCUCGAGGGAUUGGACGAUUAAUUAAGUUGACGAAGUAUCAUCGAAUAAUGCAAAUUCUUCGAAUACGCGGUUGAAUGAAAAUUUAGAGAAUCGCAAAUGAAUUCAUUUAAUUGCCACGGGUAUAUUUUAUUUUUUAUCAUAGAAUACUUAUUAAUCAUUUGUUGACCAAUUCUCGAUGGUUCUCAAAUCUGAUCUUUAUACACCAUAAAGGAUUAACAACCACGUGUACAUUAUCAUGGUGGACCAUGGGAACACGAUCGAAACCGGGUAGGUCUGUUUCGGCGGAGGGUAGUAUGUGGCCAGAGGGAUGAAACUGGUCGAGGUUGGCUACGCACAGAAAUUAGACCACGAGUUUCCACAUAGUUUACGAUGCUGACGUGACCAUUUUGUUUACGCGAGAGUUGCUAGAUAACAGGACGGAAUUGUACGUGCAGGAUCGACUCGUGUGUCGAAGAAAUUUUAUGGUUUUGCUACCGCCUCUCUGGUCGAAUUGAAUUUUCGUAGUGGAUAUCGGUAAACGAUUUUUGAAAUGUGAUACUAGAGAUAUCUUCGGGAUAUAAUUCCUUAACGUUUUCUAUUUCACCAAAGUAUCUUUUAGAAAAGGGAGAUGAAAUUUGAGGCUAUUCGUGUGGUAUUUUAGCAUAGUGAAAAAAUUGAAUUUUGAUAAAUUAUUUCGAAAAAUUACAAUUUAAUUUAAUCAAACCACGAGAGAGAAACUAAUUGAAGGAAAACAUUUUUCUUCUUUCUUUUUAAUGUUGAAAAAGGGAAAUAGAAGAUCGUUAUACAUAUGUACCUGUACACGGAAACGAAAGGUUUCGUGUACAGAGUAAACGGGGAAUUGUAAGGGGAAAUUGUUAAACAUUGAAAUGCUCGUAUCGUGUUCCCCGAGGACGUCUGUCUGUCCACGACAAUGAAAACAAAUGGGAGCGGUUUUUCUUGUCCGUGUUUUAUCUUAUUCACCUGGAUGAAUCUCCCUUUCAAUGAACAUUACUCAGCUACAAAUCCCAUAAUGUAAAUUACACUUUCCUAGAAAAACUAUUGCUAACUUUUUCUUUAUUUUCGCAACGACAUACAUUUACCUGAUUAGUUGAUUCGAUCGUGGAACGACACGACUCUCAACAAUCUAUUUAAUCUAAUUUCUGUUAGCAGAAUAAUUGAUCAAUAUUCUGUGACCCAAUUCUCUAAUUUCUCGCGGUUAGAAGCAAUAUUCGUUGAUACCGUAUCGCAAAAGGGGAAAGAAGACUAAACAAUUACUCGUUCCACGCAAUAACCACAAACUCGAUCGGGGAACGAGACGAAAUAAAGUGCUGUGAUUUAUCGCAAUCUCGCGUUUCCCUUCGGGUCGUCGCAACGUCGUCGUCGUCGGCGUCGUUGUCGUCGUCGUAUCGACGUUUCCUGGUCGCAUAGUAGAGCAUUCGCGUAGAAGAGAUGGGUGUGUAUAUCCGACGCUGUCUAUCGGCAAACAUUGCGACGUGUCAGAGUAAAUCUUGCCGGUGUGUACGGGCCGGAAAUUGCCGGGGUACCUUCGCGAGUAACUCGAAAUCAGUAUAUUUACAGUGGAAGAACAAGCCUGUCGGAAUCAGGCGGACGAAUCUUAUCGGAUCGAGCUGACAAUUUGUCCUGAUGCUCUUUGUAAUUGUACUUUCUCGAUGGAUUCGAUAGACAUUGAACGUUGAUACAAUCUUAUCAAUUAAAACGAGUUGAUUGUCUGUCAAUUCCGUUUCCAAUAUUAUUUCUAUUUCAUUAUAACACUUGCCUUUAAUUGAUAAGAAAUAUACAAUCUGAAUUAAUCUAAAGAAAGUAAUAAUAUAGCCUCUCUACCAUCAUCGACGAUUUACAACGGCAGACAUUAAGCGUUCUGCAAAUAAGCUCAAGUAUCCAUUAAGUCCUCUUGAGGGAAGAGUUUCGUUUUAAAGAAAACCGCGGCAUUCGAUAGGAAAAAAAAGUUGCCGAGACCGAUACGAAGAACUUAACCGUAACCUCAUCGUCGAAUUGCGGGUUUGCUUUAUUAUCAGGGAUAAUACGAUUUGCCGGAACACGGAAGACCUUCCACGACCCGCAUCUCUACAAAUCGUUUUACAGGGCCCAUUCAAUUUUGUUCUCUUGCCUGUUCACAUUCAGCUUUUACCUCGCCGCUAUCGAUUCGGCUUUCUUUUUGAUUAAUCGUCCGCUGGAUAUGAUUCUUUCGCGCGGAUAUUUACCUGGGAUUUUCUAUAUUACCCCGACUGGAACGGGAAUGAAAGGAAUUUGAAGAGAGACCGUCGGAUUUGACGUGAAAUAAUGAGAAAAAUUCAUCGUCGGAAUGGUUCGAAUAAGGAGAUCCUUUGUAACCUGUCCGACGUCUUAACUUCCAUAACGAGAGGAACGAAUGGCAAGAUUGCCUCCAGAAAUUAACACAUCAUUUUUUUCCUUGCCAUCCGACGCGAUUCGGGGUUAAUUACUUUCGUAAAGAAAUAUAGAAACAGUUAAAAACACCGGCGAAUCGGAAGAAUAAUAGUACACCUUAUAUAUUUCGAAUUUCACUCUUCAUCCCUGACUUUGUUCGUCGGCGUUCGUUCAGCUGAAUCGACGAGAUUUCCCCUUUUCUUGACUGCAACGAGUAAUUCUGUUUGCUUCGAGCACCUCUACCCGAGACGAUAAAUUACAAACGUUUGCUGUUUAUCCGUUUAAUUCGUCCUGGAAAUAAAGGUGCGGCUGAAGGGGCGCCGUUGAUGAGCACACGCGCGAAUUAAGGAGGGCGUUCACCGUUGCUCAGAAACGGGCACAGUAAAUUGUAACGAUGCUAAAAGUCAUGUCAUAGGUGUGCCAUCGUCGGUGGAUAACAAAGAAAAAAAGAAACGUGUAUAUAAAAAAACCGUAACGAGUCCUUUGAGAACGGGAUAGUUCUACUUUCACACAGGAAUAAUUAAUUGGCAGAAAUUGCGAACGUCGAUUAAAGUGCGUUCUUCUGAAUCUAAUUAAUAUCGUUUCACCGUGAACAUGAAAAGAAAAUUUAUUUUUAAAGAGGUUAUUGAAAGGGAUCCUUUAUUCGAUGCAAAUCGAGUUACAAAGAUUGAUUUUUUCUAGUUUGUAAAAAUUGAAUGUUGCUACGUGAUUGUUCGAUAUUCGUUUCACAGUUCACUUUUUUAUUAAAUUCUUUUUACAUGUUUUUAUUGAAGCUCGUGUUUCGAGGCUGUUAACUAAAUGGAUCAAAAUACGCGAAUGAUUUUCGACCAAAAUACAUAAAAAAUAUUAUCCAUGAAAGCCAUACAGUUGAAAUUACAGAACACAGUAUCAGAAAGGAAUUAUUAGUCCACGGUGAUUCAAUUAAAUUUCUGUUUUACAUGCUUGAUUAUUUAAGGAAGCAAAUUAUUAUGUAAGUACAGAAUGCAUGAAAUUUCAUCUGAAUUAUUCAUGUUUUUACUUGGAAUCCAAGACCCCUGGAUUGUUACAUAAGAAAUAAGCUUAUGUUUUAAACAGAGCAUCGAACUUCUUAAGAAAUCAAUACUAAGCACUAUUUAAGCUAAGACGGAAGCUUUGUAGAGCUUUUAAAGUUAAUUCUUUUAUGCGAUUAACUAGCUCAGAGUGAAUACCGUUAUACUGUUCAAUAAAAUAGGUUGAUAAUGAUAUACUUUAUUAAUAUUGAUGAACAAUUCAAUUUUCAGUCUUUGAAUUUGACAAAUGUAGUUCGUUUAAAGAGUAAUAAACAAAGGGGAGUAAAAUUGCUGGAAACUGAUAAAACAGUAUUUGUUCGCGUCAGUUAAAACGCAUCAUUAUUGUAGCGGAUAACGGUCACAGAAGAAAUGAAUUUCGGUAGCAGAUUGAAGCUUGUUAUCGAGGCGGCGCGAGCGUUUUCCGCGUUUCCGAAAACCGCACGGUCCGGCGAAUUAUAUACAAAUUGUUCCAGGUCGAUACUAUUAUCGCGACCCGCUUAACGUAUGGAGACGCGGAAAAUACGCGGCGGUUAAUUUGUAAUCCCGCAGGGCACGGCGAGCGUUAUUUGAUUUUUCGCUAUCGACAAUUUCUACGCUUCUGCUCGUUGAAUCAACGUGCAAAUCGUGUUCAUGGGUUAAUUCGAAUUACUCAUUGUUAGCACAGAGACCACAUUUCUGGCUGUCAUCUUUUUCCAUCCUCUGUCUCUCGCUGAGUUUUAACGUCAUCAAUUGAUGACACAGAUAGAACUCGCAGCGCUCUAGAACUUGAUUUAUCGCUCUUCUAGGGUAACACGAUUAACCGUUUAAAAUCAAUGCCUCGAUCCGACUAAUUCGUUAGAUUCUACUAACCAUGAGUCAUAAUUCUAAACGAUGACAAGACGGUACUUUGGUACUGAAAUAUGUAAGUUUUGUUAGCUAAGAAAGUGAUAUCAUCAGAAACACUUGUCUUCCAAUUAGCUCCCAAUUAUUGCAGGAUAAAGGGGGUAAGAAACGCGUGUCAGAACGCGGUUAAGAAAUUUCGUAGACGAUGCGUGGCGCAACAAUGUUUCGCGUUUACGCGGCGUCUCUUUGGCGAAGUUUAUCAGAUCGACGGGUGCUGUUGGCGUGUUUGCUCGCGUUGCAUUUUCGAGUCUGGCGUUCGUGCGAGAAAUUAGGAAGGGCUAAUUGAAAGCGUGGCACCUAGCCACCGACGUUGCUUAAUGUCGUUUAAUAAUAAAUCGCGAGUCGAGCUGAAUUGUGCCCCGGCAUAAGCGAAGUUGCCUGGACAAUGGAACAAUUUGUCCGUCGAUGAGAGAGCGUUUAACUACGAUCCGGUUUAAAUUUAAAAAUAUUCCGACGCGCGUAACCCUUUAAGCUGUUAAGGAUUACUUUCGGAGACUUUUAAGGGAGAGGGCGGAGAAAUCGGUGCUUGAUUUCGAGAAAUAAGCUUAAUGACGCGUGCAAACGGAAGUUCCUUGUUUCUGGGACGCGAUCGAUUUUCUCGUUUUAUUCUCGCCGGAACUGCGAACGGCUCGUUAGAAAAUCGAGCGCGCAAGUGGUCCCACAGGCGAUUAGCUAAUUAAAGAGCGCCGUCUGGAUCGUUUCGAUUCGAUUGCGCCACAUUAAAGGUCGAUUUUAAUGUUUCUACGAUACACUUUACUUAUGCAAUGUAUCUGAUUUAGCACUGAUACGUUGUUGAUAAUUAUUGUCCGGUGAAAUAUAAAAUUAAAGCAGGUUAAUUUCAAUCGGUCAAUUAUAUCGACGUCGAUAGAAUCGGUCCUUUGAAAUCGGUUCGACGGUGUCGUUCUUAAUUAAAGAGCGGGGAGGAGAAAAAAGAUCGCGGUCGUUGAAUUGGUUUUGCCACGGUGGCAAAUAUUUCCGCUGACGAAGGAAUCGCGAACAAUGCUCGACGAACGAGCGAAGCGGAAAGCCAAAGCUCGACCAUCCUCUUAACUAUUAUUGACACUGCGGAAACAUCGAUACAGCGCGGCAAAACAUUCCCGCGGUAAGGAAAACGAGGAGAAAACGGUGGAAUAUGAGAAACUUCCACCGCAACUGCAUCAAUUUUCCCAUCGGCGACGUGCAAAUACUUACUUUGAAGACUUAUCGUCGGUUCAAUUAACGCAACGGCGCACGAUCCCGUCGCGGAAAUAUGUUUUCGUACGGAUGAAGAGCUCGAAAUGAAAUUGGUUUAAUUAACCGCUCGAAGGCUCGAGCGAAACGGAUAACUUGAUGUUCGGAAGUAAUUACCCUGUAUGAUAAAUUAAAGAGACAGGUUCGCAGAAUCUCUAACUAGCGACGACACUCGAUCGGUGGAAAUAAAUUAGAAAGAAAUUAAUUUUUAUCCAAAAGUUUCAAAAGUUAUUCGGUUUCGACGGAAACUAAUCCCACAAGACUAAGCUCUCCUAGUCUCUUUGAUCAAAGAUCCGUUCAUCAUCUAUGAAUCACAGUGAAAUUUCUCGUCGUUAAUAAAAGCUCAAGUCGAUGUUGCAAAUAUUUGCGGAAAACUAAUAACGAGAUGAACGAGGAGGAGUCUUGGACUGGCAAAAUCAAAUUGCGGAGCAGAGUGUGCGACGCGAACCGCGACGCAUUCACGCGGCCAGAGUCUCAUCGACUUGCAUUCCCCCUCUUUCACCUCCCUUCUUCGUAUCCGGUGUAUCUAAUACUUUAAAUUAACCCAGUUCCGACCCCGUCGCUUCCAACCUCGGCUCGCUAUUACCCGAAGCGUAACGCUGCUAACUCGGUUAAGCUCCGACAGUUGGCAAGUCACUGUUUCAGCUGUCAGCCGGAUAAUAUUCUAGCUUUCGAUUAACCAGCCUCGCUGCCCACUUCCGGUUACAGUUUCGCGAACACGGUGUCGAGCGACCGGCAAAGCGAAUGAUCGUUUCACGUAUGUUUAGCGUGACUUUUACCACGACUCCCCGCUGCGGCCGUUAAAAGAUCGACCGACCGAUUGUGUCCUUUAGCGGGAAAACGCGUGUGUUACAUCGAGCUGAGAGGGUUACUUUGAUGUAAUACUAUUAAUUCAUAGAUGGAUUAGAAAUGUAAUUAUAGCGCUGUGAAUUUAUCGCAAAAGGGGUCGGUUAAGCCGUGCGGAAUAGCGUGUAAUUUCGAAAUGGAACGCUUAUUCCGGAAUGUAAUCCAGGGAAUGAGACUCUCCGCAGCAAUUAUAAAUUUUUUUAACUCUUACCUUUUUUCCAGCUACUAUUUCUUAUUUCUAAAUUUAAGAGCGGUUGCUUUCAAGCUUCCAGUGAAAAGAAAUAUAUUUUUCUAAAAGGAUUUCGAAUUAUUCAUUUAUACAGAUAAUAUCGUACAAAGUGGUAUCAAAAGCUCCUAUGCUAAAUCCAUAUCCCAAAGGUGAUUCGCAUUCCGUGGAUCGUUGCUUCUGACGAUUUUUCCAGUCACCCUUAGACACCCUGAGACGUGGGUGCUUUCGGCAUGGUCUUCUUAACUCGGGUCUGUUCUUGGGAUCGAACUAGCUACCACUCGAACAGCUCCCAUGGGAGAGAUCGUUGCCACCUCAUUCGCCAGCCAAUGCUUGAGACCUUCCUAUUUACAUACGCCAUCUUUUCAACCCCCUCAACAUCGUCGACGCCUACGUCGUUCCACGCAACUAUCGAGGUAUUCCUUCUGAGCGACGUCAUCGAGAGCCCAUUAUGCUUGCUGAUUUGCUUCACUGAUAAGGCAAUGGAGACUUCACCGGCGACAGGGGGUGAAAGCCGGUUAUCAGGGGUAAGGGGGUCAUUGCACGGACCGUGGAACGAGCUCACGGAUGACGUCUUCUAUUCAUAAAUAUUACCAUGCGAAUAUCUUUAUCUUGGCUUCGUUGAUUCUGUUAAAGUAUCUGGAUAAAGGAGAAAGGAUAAGAACUAGGAUCCUGAACGGUGAUAGGUUCUUUUGAAAAACCGAAAUAUAUUUUAAAGGGAAAUUAGAAGGAACAGUCUGGGUUAGAUUUAAAUUAUAAGAUUGCGGUAGUAAAGAUUUUCUUUCAUUUUUAUUAUGAAGUUUAUGAAUGAUGCCAGUGAGUGUUUAUAAAGUUCGACUGCAGUUUUCAGACGAAGAAUUUUGAAAUAUUUCCGAAAGUUCCAAUGAAGAAUUCGAAAUCCCUGGACGUGGCCAGAAAGGCAUUCUCGAAGUUCCAAAGUUUACGGUUCAAAAGUUCUCGCUGAAUCUGGCGAGCUGAACGAGGAAAUUUUUCAUUCUAUCGAAGCGCGUACAAAAAGAGACGGAAGUGGACAUUCGAAACAGCUGCAAAAACCUCGUCUCUCGAUUUCAUAAAAUUUUCUUAACUACUUUGGCUGAAAUUAAAUGUAUAUUUAAGUAUAGUAUAACGUACGAACGAAGUUAUAUAGAAGAAUAUAUGGAAAGAGCUUGUUAGAACUCGUCCAGAGGAAAAUUCUACAAAGUUUCAUAUCUUUUUCCUGAAAAUUGAACACACGACGAGGUCAAAAAGUCACCUCUCGACGUACUUGAUUUUAUAUGAAACUUUUCUCAUAAAUUAGUAGUGUGUUACUUAGUAAGUAGAGAAUUUCAUGCACGUUGAUCAGUCUCGUUCCUCUUGACGUUCUCUCCUUUAUUGCUUUCGCAGACCCUUCACGUGUUGCACGUGCGCCGUAAUCAGCACGUAAACGCGUACCACUGGUACAAGCUUAAUGUCACAUCAAAGGGAAAUCCUUUUCUAGACACCAAUUGUAGGUUGUAAUCCUUCGGAGACUUCGUUUAGUAGAAAAUUUUAGUAUACGCAUUUGGAAGAACGAGAGUUACCCUUCUGUCGUUGAUUGUGUCUCCAACAAGUCCGUGAAAGGGGUUUAAAAUGCGAUAAAAUAGGAUUGCCUUCGAGGGGAUGAUUGUCUAUUAGUAAAAAAUUUAUGAAAAAUUCUUCUAAUAUCUUUGACAUGUGUACUUUUAUGUCUCUUGAGCUACAGUAGAUGUAGAAUUUUAUUUAAAGUAAAGCACAAAAGUACAUAAAUCUAACGAAUUCAUCCCUGCAACGCAGUCGACUAAAAUUACAAAGUUUGCAAUCGAUUUUCUCGUUAUUUUCGUCGUUGGUUCGUUCUGAUAACCGUAACGAGAUACUAAUUAAUAGCAACGUCUACGUCUGAAUGAGACGUUGGUUGCGUCACAAGGUGAACAAGAAGUCGUCUCGCCCACGCGACCUUUCCCUCGCCCGCAGGAGACAACAGAGCCUCGGGGAACAAUGUUUUCCACGUAAAUCAAAAGGAACUUGGAAGGGCUUCAGCCGCAAAGAACACCGGUUAAUGGCGUCGGGAAAGUUCGAUUCGUGGAAUAUCGAGUUUCACCGCGAAUCAAUCGACUUUGUUCGACUUGGCCGACACCAGACGAAUCCGUCCCGCCGAAUAACCGGCUCUCCGUGAAAGUUAACGACUUUCUUCAGCACCGAAUUUCCCGAUAACGAAGUUUCAUCACCCUACCCCUCUGUUCUGCCCCGUACCACCCCCGCCCGAACCGCUGUCGACUAACCGGAAGCGACUUCUCCGCGCCCUGUUCGGCUCACCUUUCCCUUCUUGGCCCGCAUCCGCUACGCGCCGUCGACUUUCCAUUCUUCUCGAUCAUAUUUGCUCCCACGAUGGAUUCCCGAUAUCGAGAGGAAUUCAUCGAUAAACGGACCGAAUCGAGGGAGAAAUGUAACAGGAACUGUAAAUAGAGUUGCCGGUAGGGGGGAAGAAAAAAAUUAAAGGGUCGCUUUUCGAGUUAUCUCGGUCGGGUAAGUCGUUCGUUAGCUCGUUGAAAGUUUUCGGCGGUUUGUGUCGCGACAAAUUCGAUUUCACCACGAAAGCUCGCUGUAAUUUGAUUGCUCUUGAUCGAUACUUUAAGUGAUUGAGUCCUGAACUUGAUUGUAAUUAAGAUUCUUCGACGGUUAACGUUAUUUUCUACCGGGGAUAUUAAAAAGUUUUGAGCGCCUACUGGUUGCCGUUCGUGCUGAGUUUUAAUAAAGACCCGUAUGUACAUGCAGCAUCCAUCAUGAUCACUUUUGCGUCGACACUCUAUUAAGUUUCAUUUCUUGCUACUUCGUAAGGGUUUAUUAUCAGCCGCGACCAAGUCACAAACAACGUGAUAAAAAAAUCGAGCCGUACCCCACUGAAAAUAAUUCUCAUGAAUAUAAAUUGUCGAAUCGUGGAGAUGAGUGACGGUAUAGGAAAAGAAAGGAUGCUUCGUUCUCUGAAAUUGACUCUUUGCCUGAAAACUAAAUUCGUUACACGCCUUAUUCUGUUUUUUAACCACUUUGAUUUCACGCUUUUAUAAAUCGGAUUCGAAUUAUAGCACAAAUAGAAAAAAUAAAUAGUAAUUAUCGUACUGGAUUAUAUUAAUCUUUUGUAGGAAUUUAUAUUCGCGAACGGUAUGAUAUUAAUGAUAAAUUCGUCGGAUCGUAACGGAUAGGUUUCAUGGUGGAGCUAAAAACAUUCUGUUCGAUGUCAAAAAUUCAUCAGGGCUUAAUUGCAUCGCUAUGAAAUCCCAUUAAAAAACAUGGCCGGAAAUGAUAUAAAUUUCCAGCAUUUCCACGGAAGGAAAUCCGACUGGCUGGUUGGCUGUUCUAUUUUUCAACGGGAGAUACACGUCGAAAGCAAUUAGUCGUGUUCCGUUCACGCGAGCUCAGUUUGUUGGCUUCAAAGAGUAAUUUUACCUAAUAUCUCGAAACACUGAGUGGGCUUAGUAAAAGCUUGCAUACUUCAAAGAUAUAAUCCCCGGAGAAGACCGGAAAUUGGAUAGGAAAUGAAGUGGACUGCUGAAACAGAGAACACUCGCGCCUUCCUGCUCUUUACGCUUCCGAAAGAGUCCUACGGGUAAAGUGCACUUGGUGCAAAAUUGAAAAGAAAGAAACGCUGAUUAUCAUCGUCCCCGUGGAUGUCAAAUUAUGCUUUAAUUUCUCCUCGUCUACUCUCUCUCUCCCUCUCGAUCCACUUCAGACUUCGUUUCCUCUACUUAUCGUUUGCCAAAGCGUGUAAAUUCAAUCUGGAAAUGGUUAUGGUUAGGACCACUGGAAAUGUAUGAGAAGCGAUUAUUAAUAGCUAUUAACAAACUUAAUGGGCAGAUUAUUAGAAAGAGGACAAUUAAUUAAUAAUUUGUGCUAUGUCAAUUUAAAUCUUAAACUUUGAUCAAAAUAAUUACACAAACUAUUAAUAUCCUUAAUGCAAAAUGUCUGCUCCAACCAAUUUCCACCCUUGUAUAUCUUCAUCUAAGAAUAAUCAGACGAAUCUUCGCACCUCCCGAAUGAACUUAAAAAGAAAGAAAAAGAAGAAACAGUCACGAAGCUAAGAGGCAACGAGAUGCAGGAGAACAGCUUGAAUAAUGGAGGCUAAAAAGACUUUAUCGUUCCGCAAUAUGUAAACUUUCUCCUAAAAAGCAACGAGUACGGAAGAUGAAAAACCUUUCAAGGAUACAGCACGAUUUUUCACCUUCCCACGUUGGCCGAGCGUAAUGUGAAUUUAUGGGAUUAUUUUAUCGCGACUUGGAACCGUGUUCGCGCUUGCAACCGUACACAUCGUUGUUCUUUCAAGCUCGAGGAAAUCAGAUUUUCAUUGCUUAAUCGCGACACAUCGAACACCAUAAGAUUUUUACACGUACACCUCGCGCUACAUUGCAUAGAAACAUUUACGAACCAUGAAAUGAUUCGUUACGACCUCCUCGUUUCCGGCCAGCAAGCUGCUGCGAUGUAAUCGCGAGCUCGUACGAAUUUCCGCCAGCUUGUAAAAUAUUAAAACGUAAUCGUGUUGCUGGUAGAACAGCGGCGAUAAAGUAGACGUGUUGUAGCUUCCUAAAUAUUGAAACAAACGUCUUGCUUGACAAAUAACGAUGAAUCGGUUCAGUUUUCGAAAGCUCUGCAUUUGGUGAUGCUAAUUUAUAAAAUGGCGUUCGGAUACGCUGAAAAAUCACAAUGAAAUCUCGACAGAAUACGCCAGUGAGGAUUGAAAGCUCACGGUAUCGUCGAUCUCGCGGAGGAAGCCUCUUUCCGCUUGAAGCUUUUCCAAGCGUGCUGACGCGAGUCUCGAGCCCGCGGUACCUUGGCUGGCAGUAUCGAUCACGACUCGGCGAACUUGUCUACGGAUAAGCCUUGUGACUAGGAGCAACAGGAAAGAAAGGGACUAAGGGAAAGGAAGGGCUGAUGCGCGGCCUAGACAGAGAGGUCGACAGACUGAAAGCACGCGAACAACACAAGCCUGGCAGAAUAACAAAUGAGCGGGCCAGGGAAUGAAAGAAAGUGGAAAAUAGUCGACGACCGGAUGGUACGAGAGGACGAAAGAACGGAAGCGACGGAAAGGAAGAGCGGUUGGAUUGAACGGCGUCGGGAUGGAUGACGGGAACAGAAGGCGAUUGAUGAAAGACACUCCUUUCUUAGAAAUGUUGCCCAUGGACGAUGGACAGACCGAACUUCCGUUCCACGACCUUUUCGGCAAUGACAAAUGGAGAUGCUACGUGAGAGCUUCUCUUUCAAGUACAACCUUUCGAAGAAUUAUUGUUUUUUAAUUGAUUAGUUGAAUCAUUUUCGAAAGAUCCUAAGAUUAAAUGAAAAAUAUUCUGAAACUACGUGUCUGAUUUAGCUGUAGAGGAUCGAAGAUAUCUCGCAGAAGAUUUGAGCAAUUUUUCGAAUUUAUGAAACAUUGAAUAAAGUAGACGUAACUUCGACAAUGGAUUCUCUUCUCGAACAGUCGAUCGCUCGUAAAACACACGAUCAGCCGAUUGAACCGGAGACGGAAGCUGGGUAUCCGUGUGUGCCAUGCGUCAAUAUAAAAGUCGUUUCGACAAGGCGUGGAUUUUACAGUCAGGAUGUAAUCGCCUGUAACCGCAGCUGUUUAAGGAGCUUAAUGAGAUCGUUAGUCUGCAAUCGUUCCGCGACUUACUGUCUACUUAAUACCCACUUAAGGCUUUACGAGUGUUUAAAGAUAUCGACGCCUCUGCAGCGAGGCGACGACCAUCCUUGGCCCCCUCGUAAACCAGAAUCGAGAGAUCUUAGAAAGCUCAACCUUUGUCCUUUUUGCUUCGCGAACCAUUGAAUUCUCUGUUUUAUAGCAAGAAAUGUACCAAAUCAGCUUGUUAGAAAAGGAUCUUCGAGUCGUACGAACGAUUUAUCCUCGGGGUACUGUUGCAGAAAAUAGACUCUGAUUGAACCUGAGUUUCAAAUGAUUUUAUUGCUGUCUUCGUAUUCGGAAUUUCUUGGUGGAAAGAUUAUUCGAAAGAAUUUAUCUCUGAUUAGAACAAAAUUCAAUGUAUCUUACGAAUGAAUGAAUUAUUGCAAAAUUUUUAAAUUGAAGUAAUUAAACUCUGCAGGAUAAUUUUGUGAAAUUUAUUUAAAUUUGCACAGUUGUAUUAAAUAAAAUAGAAAUCGUACGGUGGAACGAAUAUAUGUUUAAUGUCAAUGCCGAAGCUUCUCUGAAUUUAAUGGAUUAGCAUGGAAAAUUGGGAUUAUACUAUAUUUAUUGCAUAUUCGUUUCACAUUGUCCGUGUAAUUUAAAAGUUUAAUCCAGAAAUACUUUUCCUUCGUUUAAUUAAAAAUCCGCUUUCAAAUAUUAAUGCCAGUUCAAAUUUUAUAUUUUUGAUUAAAAGAAAUUUUCCGCUGACUGAAUAAUAAGAUGUAUUCAAACGGUAGAUGGGCGGAAAAAAUAAAGGCGCGAACAGAGCAUUUUUCUAGACUGGUUUUAGAAGUUCAUUGAAGGCUCCCGUAAGGUGCAUAGUUGGAAAUCCUCUUUCUUCUCGCGAGGCAUUAGCAGGAAAAUAAGAAGAAAAAAGUUACACGAAGCCAAUGAGGAUAGCGGAGGUGCGGAAUAUUUUUCUGGGUCAGAAACUGAAUCAAGCGGGUUGCAUCAUUGAAAAGGGCUGAUGCGAGGCUCAAAGCAUUUUGUAAAGGACAGGCGGUUUCAAAGGCGCUUCGGAAACUUUCAUCGAGGUAUUCCUUCAACAGUGUGGCACUUCGAAGAUUAACGUGUCACCGUGAUAGUGUUGAUACUCUUUCAGGACUGAAAGCUCCCCUGAAGAGGAGGCAACGGUACCGUCGACCAGAAAAUAAGAGAUAAGGGUGAAAAAAAAAUGUUCCCUUGGUCGGGGACGAAAUUUUAACGUUUGCCUUCUUUACUUUCGCAUACGUUUCAUCAAUUUCCAUCUACCGUUUCAAAGAUUUAAUAUUACGUUUGGAACAGUUAUGAUUGGGUUAAUCUACGAAAAGUGUACAACUGUUUGUGAACCAAAAAAUUAAACAUUCAAAUUAAAAAAGAAAUUUUAAAAACUCUCCAUACUUUUAUUUAUAUUACGUACAAAAUUUAGGACAUGAAACAGUCUUCUGAAAAGUUGGAAAUUGUUAUUUCACGGUUAAAAUGAAUUUGACUUUGAUUACAAAAUGAAAGAAGGAACGAAGGGAAGGAAACGUAGCUGAGGGAUGAAAAGGGUGGAAAAUUCCUUCAGAAAGAAACGAUAAAUCUUUACAGUUUGUAAAUCAAUCAUCUUCAAUAAGUGCUAACAAAGAAAAAUUACCAUUUUGAAUUCCUCCUACAAAAAUCUUCUAACCAAUAAAUUCCUGAUCGCAAAACUUUCUAUCACCGGUUCUACUGAGAAUUUCACGUUCGCACGAUCGCAGCUGGCUACAGUGUAUCGGAAUGGUUCAUCGUAUUUCGUUUCAGCUGGCAACAAUCUAAUUAUUAGAUUCCUUACGGGCUGUAACGGAGGUUUCUGCGGCAACGAGCGCAAUCUAAGCUCACGGCUUGAUCCGGUCGUAAGAUUAAAUUGAAUCUGCAGGAAGGUUCGACGAUCAAGUAGGUCAGGCAGGUUGCAACCGAACGGUAUGCGUGUUGCCGGGGAGUUUGAAAUGCGGCGAGGCUUUGCCAUUCAGGGCCAACUUGCCACAUAGUUGACCAUUAGUAUUAAAAGCUGCUUCGAAGCAGAGUUUCGGUUCGCCUCCUUUGUCGUGAACCAUGCUCGCACAUGGUUCCUCGACUCCUCGGUAAUUCUGUUGUUUCACCAAACACGUCCGUGGCCCUGAAACUUAAUCAAUCUGCUCUCGUUAAAGCAAUUAACUUCUGAUUCCUUAAAUCAAUUUUCAAGGUAGUUAUUUUCGUACCAGAUGUCUUUCAAGAUUUCGCAAUAGUAAACAUAAAUGUUUCAUGCACUGUUGAGUUGUUAGUUUCACGGUUUAAAGAUACAAAGAAGAACAUGCACGAUUCGUGAAACGAAUCUGAGAACAGAUCACGCGCAAAUGCGAGGUCGUGUUGCGAAUCAGCCGGUUAUGCAAGCAAGAAGAACGCUUCUUCGAUCAGCUUCUUCGAAGGGGAAAAGAAGAGCAUCGUGAUAAAUUUGCAUGAAUAAGUUACUUCCGUCGUACUGUUUACUCCGUUGAGUGGCUGUAAAGCUGCAAGUGUUUGCGUCAAAUCUCAAUGAUACCCUGAAGUUUCGUGUUGCUUAUUCACCAUCGACGCGACGCCACGUAAAGGAAGCUGCUUCUUUCAUCGUUGUCUGUUGCGAGGAAUAAGCGAGGAAUUUUCAGGAUCAAGUAAUUUGAAUAUUUCUAAAGCUCGAGUAGAUAAUUCCCGUUUCUUUUUAAUUAUUUUCUUCUAAACAUCCACUUGAAAAACAUCUUAAGUUUGUAACAAGAGCAGUAAGGAACUCAGAAUUUAUUUUGCAUUAUCUAAAAAUUCGUUCUAUUGAUAUUAAUUGCUUCUAGAGUGUAUUAACGCUUGAAAAUAAUGCUGAAACUUGGUGAACAAAGUUUAAGUUUUAAUACUUACUCUGAACUUCGUGUUCUUGCUAUUUUUCAUGAAUUUUUCAUUGGGAACUACAAUCAAGGUACACUAAGGAGAAGUCUCGUGCAUCUAUUAACCUCUUAAGUAUUCGGUAUUAAACUGUGUACUUUGCUUGUAUCAUAUUUUCAUGAUUUUAUUAUCGAGUUUAUUUUCAUUUUUGCAUUUGUGCUUAUUUACUUAUUUAAUCUAUUAAUUUUGUAUUCUAAAAAUCAUCUCUUUAAAUGGGAAUAUCCCCUUAUCUAAAGGGUGUUAGCAUGUUCAGUUGAGUGUAAAUGAAACUAUCAAAAUAUUUUCCUUAUUUCGAGCAUAUCGCUUCCGUCCCAUCUAUUUUCCUCAAUUUCAAUGGUAAUGUUCCGACAAUCCCCUUUUCUUACCCCUAUUUUCCGCGUCAAUUACCUUCGAGCAAACCAUAGUGGACAGCAUAGAAGGUUCGAAAGGCCAGGCAGGAAAUAACGAUAGGGCUGUGUCUUGCCGUGUGACCGCACAAUAUGAAAGGGAGUGUAAUAGAUAUUCACGCACAGGAUCGUGCGUGAUUUUGCUCCUAUCCUCUUCGAUUGUUCGCGAAACAAGGGGUUGUGUGUUGCAUCAUCGACCGUCUGACACACGUUACACACACGUCACGUAAACAUUGACGUGUGCCGACCGGCUCUGUAAUUAUGCUGUCCCAAUGAGCAUUGUUACGUUUCGAUAAGCAAUCGCUUCGACCUACGAGACAAUCGCUUCGAAUUCGAUCCCGUCCCCUUUCGACAUCAUCGCAACUUCGUGCCGUGUUUCAAAUUCUUCGUGACUAAUCGCAUACCAAGGUAUUUGUAAUCGGUAAUUGAUUUGAAAAAUUUUUUUCGAUUCUUAAAUUAAUUACUGCUUAUACAAAUUAAGAUGAAUUUUGAAGAGAAGAAUUGCGUGCUUAGGAAAAUGAUCACAGUAACCAAGUUUGACGGUGACAAUCGAAAACGGUAAUAACUGAUCUAUGAAAUCGGUUGAAUCGCGAGGCGCUGUAUUAUGUUCGCGAGUACCAUUAAAAGUGCCAUUAAACCGCGCGAAUUAAUCGGUUCGCGUGAAACCGUGUUCCGUCCAGUUGCCUCGACCGCGUCAAACAUCGUUAGGAUCCGCGUUCGAACGUAUUAAUUUACAAAAUAUUAAUUCACAUUGCACCGGGUGACGCGCCGAUGAACUUCCAACGAAUCGAGCAAACAUCGGCUCGUACAAGUCGACCUGGUCCUGAGCUACUAAUUCCGCCGCUUCAAUGAGCAUUGUUACGUUUUAACGAUCAUUGAAGUGUAGUAAGGGACAAUGGGACUGAUUACAGCCGGAUGAAAUCGUAUUUUCAUGCGACCCAACGUUGCCUCGCUCUUUAUUCAUCGGUCUGCGAAAGAACUGUUUUCGAAGCAUUCGCCGAAGCCCAGAAUAAAGCAGAUCAAUAAUUAAUGAACUUCGGUAUUAUUACUUAAACGAAGAUAUUCAAACUGUUAUAAAUUAUUUCGUAAUAUAAAAAUUAAAAAAUUAAUUAAAUCACCCCGGAUUUUUGAUCAACAUAGAAUUUAAUUGAAAGAAGAGAAAAUGUAAAGGAAAAUAAUCAGCUUGGGAACGUUGUUAUCCGGUUUAUCUGUCUUAUUUGAAAUGUCUUAUUCGCGAAAUUUCAUUAGUGCGCUAAAAGCGGCAGUUGUGUAAUAUGAAUAUGCAAUUUUAUGACCACUCAGGGGAAACUCACGUACCUACAUAAGCGAGUUAUGUAUUUUCAUCCCGCGAGGAGGGGACUUUCCGACUUAUCCGAGAGAAAAGUUAAGCUCGGACCAGAGAGUACAAAGUGUGUACACGAGCUAAUAGGGAUGAAGAAAAAGAGUGACACAAUUUUGUACUAAAAAAUUGUAAUAUUUCUCAAUUAAGAUAAACGUUUCAAAUCUUUCAUUACCCCGAUCUUGUUUCAAGGUUGACCGAACACGAACACCUGUUAGGAGAUUGCCAUCUUUAAUAGCGGUUAAUCGUAUUCGCUCUGUUGACAAGCAUGAAACUGUUCGUGUUUCCAUUAUACACUUGCUCGGAUAGUUGUCCGAAGGCGACCUACCAGGUGAACCGUGAAACGAUUAACGACAAAGUCCCGAUGCUUGUUUCGAGGGUGUGUCACGUGCUUUCUCAUCAUGCGGUGCGUGACGAAUUGUUACGACGUCGUUCCACGCUCGUCCCCGAGCCUUUUUCUUUCGCCUGAAAGUCGAUGACCGUCGACAACGCCGUGUUCACGCGUCGUCAUUUUUCACCCGUUGAGAAUCGACCGGCUCCACUCUGUCAUGGCAUUGUUCGACGGCAAGCAAGUAGAUACGACCGACCAGUAGAGCCAGUUAGCUUUUUCCUGCCACAUAAUCGACUCGUGGUCUUGGUUAAAUCAUGUUCACCAGUCGAAUCGAGUCUCCCGAGUGUUUGACCGAGUUGUUUCCUUGAUCGAAACGUGUACGCCUUUCCCUACCUCCUGUUUCUGAUCGAGUAAUAGGAUCGAUCGAACAGCGUUUCUAGUUGAAAGAGCUUUCCAACGAACCUAACGCUCACGAUCGAUUCGAUUCUCGCUUAGAUAUCUGUUUGAGCCGCGAUUCUGAUCGACCGGUGCUUUUGAUCGAACGAUGUCUCCGAUUUAAUCGCUUCAGGUCAACUAAUGGGGUUAUUCUUCUAAUUAAAUUCUACCUGCGAUCGAAUUUUAUUUCCGGUUCAACUUGUCUUUUAAUUGGUACGUGCUUUCGAUUGAACUGAGCUUACACGUCUUAUUGGUAUUAUAAUCAGGUAAAUGGUAUUUAAAUGAAAUAAUAGUUCCAGAGAACCAUCCAUAGUAUUCCAGUGUUCUCUAAUAUAUCGUUUGCAAAGUGUUCCCCGGAAAGCCGAGGAAAAAUUUGCGUCUUCUGGGUCGUUCGUUCGUUGAACAUCUUUCACGCUAACCGCAGAAACGGGGUAAUCCAAUUUCUCGUGAUAUUACGUAACAGCAUGACAAAGUGGAUUAUUUUUUUUCUGUCGUUCUCGGACGGUGCGUCGAGGCGCGGCACAUUCUCGUUAAGUAAUUAGUUUAUCGACGCUCGUCUGGACCGGAAGCGGGCAUACUCGGUUGCUAUUAAAUACGCGAUAAUAAUGAAAUUUCCCGACGGCUUUCCCUCUAUCCUAGCAAGAAGACAUCCUCGCGGAACUGAUAAAAAACAAUCUAGACCAUUCUCUGGCGAGAACAAUUCUUGUCUUCUGAAAACUUUCUGGGAAGAAAUAUUCUGUCCCAAAACUUUUCGAAGGCGAAUGGUGCCGGGUUACAAUAGGCUUCAUUUUCGAAUCUAUAAUAAUUCAAUGGAAAGAGGGUGCGGGAGAAAGAAGAAAUGUUGAAGAAGAAAAAGGGAUCACGGCUCGGUGUGAUCCAUGCAGAGACUUUAACGCCAUUUUCACGCCUAAACGUAAUUUAAAAGUUUGCAAGUCACGACAACGUGCGCGGCGACACCCUGUGCUGUUAAUGAAAACUCCCUCCGACUCGCACUUUCAAUUUUCCGGCGUGCGCCACUGCUUCCGACCUCCUUUCUUCCGGCCUCUUCCGCCGUCUGUUCUUUGAGCCCUCUUCGUUUCCCCGUAGAACGCGUCUGGGUUAGUCAUUUUUACCCUCUUAACGGCUGUUCGCUCGGUAUACAAGUUCCUUGUCUUAUAAGCUGGCGGGUUCAUAUUCUUUUAGUAGAAGGUUCCGUUGUUGCUAUCGUUUAUUCCCUCGCCGUUUCGUACCCUUAUCUCUCCACGAGCAUGUUCUUCUACCUCUUCGAGUCGCGUUUUGCUGAAAAUUGUGUCCAUGAAAAUAUUGGAAACUCCCUUUGAAGUUCAUUUUAUACAGUACUAGGACCUCUGGGACUCUUCCCUUCAAUCUUUCUGCUUCGUUUACGUACACGGGUUUUGUUGAAAAUAUUUGAAACUUGAGGGAAUAUAAUACAAAGGGUUAUUGCUUCUCGAUGAAAUUAAUAUUGCUGUUAAUUAGCCUUUGGUAGGAUUGAAUGCAAUUAUCGUGCAUUUCUUUAAUAAAAUAAAAAUUUGCAAAAGAUGGAAAUUUAAUUUAUUUCUAUCUCUGAUAUGAAGAAUAUUCGUCGUAUUUUUUCGAGAUAGAUUUUGCAGUUAAAAAUUAAAUGAAACGCGAGCCAGCCGUUUCGGACGGUUUCUCCGAGCAGUUUUGCGCUGCUUGCAACGCGUUUUUCCAAAGUGGCUCGCACCAGAAAGCGAACACACACGCGGAGGGGCGGAACAUCGCGAUGGGGUGCAAAUAAGCGCAAAAUGACUGUCGGCAGCUGGCCAUAUUGGCGUGAAGUUGGAAAACGUCGGCGAUACGCGAAAGCUUGACACCGAUCCGCUCAGAAUUCAUAUCUCGCGAAAGUUUAACGUCGUCGACAGGCAUCGACGUCGUCGUAGGGUGAGGAAAAAAUAAUUUCGAGCAGCCUCGAACGAGCUAGGGAUUUUACGAUCGCGUGUCGUCGAACCGUUUACGCGCUGUAAAAAAAAUAUCGCUGCUCAGCGAUAAGAAAGGAGAAAAUUAGAUGGAAAUUGCUGUUCGACAGUUAAGCCGAUCAUGAUUCCUCCACUUGUUGAUUCCGAUGACUUUAAUAGGAAUCAGUGUUUUAUAACUUGUUUUAAUUUGUAUAAAACCUCUUUCUUUUCUUGUCAGUGAAUCUGAGCAAUCGUGAAUCUUGUAAUUUAAUUCCAAUUAAUCAAAAAGAUCCUUUUUUUUAAAUAUCAAUGAAAUUUAAACGUCUGUGUGUAUUUAGUUUCAAUAAAUCUUUCUGACAACAAUAACAAUGAUAGGAGUUCUCGUUUUAUCGUGAUUCUUGAAAAGCAUGUCCCAAGACACAUUGAAAUCAGGGACGCCCUUAGUUCAGUGCCAAAGGAAUCCGGUACAACGCUUUACGGGUUGACAUUUAUUGCGCCACUCUUUUCUCUCGAUGCCAACAGAUAAAUAUCGGCGCGAGUUCGCACCAGGUCGUGGAAAGAAAUUGUGAGAGAAGCGAGCGUGUGUGUCCCGCGAGAAUAGAAACUCCGUUGAGAACGGGGCUCAGGAUUUUCGGUAAAGAGCGGUUCGACUACGUUUACCCUUUUUUAUUCGUAGCAUUAAAUUGAACGAAAUUUCCUUGCUGAAAUUAUAUGUCACCGAGACUUACUUCCUAACCAUCGUAUUAUAAAAUUUCCUGUUCGUUCCAUCAUUUUUUAUUAUUUUAUUUGGCAAGACUUAUAUCUCAAAGUGUUCCCCUCGAAUUUUAGUUUAAACUUUUAUGCUCCACGGCAGGAAUAUUUGCCUGCGUCUCGGGUCUCGAACCUCCUUGUUCGUAUUUUUCAUUUCAAGUUUCUUGACACUAUACUCGGUACUAAAAGAAUCAGGAAACUUUUGAAAGUUGCGAUAUUCGAGGCGAAGUGGCAUUAAAGUAAGAAGAAAGAGGGAAACGAAAAUUUCGAGUAAAGGGAAACGCGUAAAAUUUUGAACGUCUACCAGUGAAAUCUAAUUUUGUAUAACAGCGAGGAUUUGAGAGAUUGCAAUUUUGACCGAUAAUUCAUCAGAAGAGGGUGGGCAUGUUAAGUGUCGGCAUAGUUCAACGCGAUUACAACGUGCGCUCUAAACAUGCUCGUUUCUUGCAAAAUUUAUAGGCGAAUUUGUGCAUAUGAGCCUUGCCUAAUACAACGCGCUCCAUGUAAGCGCUCUUCAAUGGAAAUAACCGCAAAGCUCAUACGGCGUAAUUAAUGCGGCCUACUAAAUUUAUUUUAAUCGCCGAGAUUACCAGGAAUAAUCACCGCUAAGUGGUGUUCGCCAUCUAAUAUCGUUGAUACCACUGUUUCGCUAUUCGAGUAAAUCGUGCGUAAUUAGCAGUAAUGUUACACGAUUGUUGCUUGAUCAUUUGGUUACUCUAUAAAUGGAGGAAAUUCGAUAUCCUAAGCUCGCUAACGAAAUCAGUUUGCGAUCGUUACACGAAGAUUCGCGAUUUGCGAAGAAAUGGAAUACUGUGAAGAUAAAUAAAUUAUACUCAGUCUUAUCUUUGAUACGUUGAGUUGCUCGUUAAAAAAUAUCUUUUUUUAGAAAGAGAACAGAGUAUAUCAAAGCAGAUCGUGAAAGUUUGAAGUAUUCGAUUCAUGUUCUGAAUAAUAUAUUGGUAGAAACGAUUUAGUUGCCUGGUAGAAUGAUAAUUCAGUAAAAAUACAUCGUAAAGUCGAUCGCCGUCGGUGAAAUCGGUACAUUUCGGAGGAGGAGAAGAAAAGGAUUUGGUUCGCGCAAGUUGAGCCUGCUAGUCGAUGUUUCCACGAAGGCUCGAGGUCCAAUAAAGCUGUCGAAGGAAAUAUUCUCGUGGAAAGUAUCCACGGGGGCUUCGAUCGUCCGCGAGUCGGCCGGAUGCAAUUCGUCUGAAUCUGCAUUGAAUCGCUGCAAGGCCCGCAUUGUUCAAGUCGGACCGGUGUUACGGACAAACGAGAGAAUUGAUAUUUUUCCGUCGUCCCGCAUAGAUAAUGCCCCUAUUGAAUUGCAUUCGUCGUGAGCGACGGUUGAACGAACGAAGAGAAGUAAAAAAAAAGAAGAGAAAAGCGAAACGAGGAGAAAAAAAUGGCGAAGGAAAAACGAAGAAGAUGAAAAAAAGAUAAUAAUAAUUGGAUCGUAGAAGAAGUCGACGGCCUUCUAACAGGCUUGGCUUGGUAUUAUUUCACGAAAUAUUACUUUCAAUCUCUAACGAAGUACAAGCCGUCGCUUCGAACAAUCUUCAUUGUGCCAGAGCGCAACAAAAGGGUGUCAUUAAACGUGUCUGGCGGCACGUUGCUGCCACCGAGAAAAGAUUAGGCGGCGGCUGGUUUUUAAUUUAAUUGUAAUUAAAAGUAAACGAGGCCACGCGUUCCACGUUAACGACCUUAGAACUCACGGUCUGGUGAAAUUAUAUAGGCUACCUCGUCGAUUGUGAAUGAAAGUUUCGAUUGUCCUCCUCUUGGUUUCUCUCGAUUUUCAUCCUUUCCCGUGGAAAAUUUUCGUAAUCAAAUUAAUUAUCUUUUUCUCUCUUUCUGUAUUUUUCUAUACAAUUUCAGAACAUAGCUUCAGUUAUUCAAUUCAAUGCUCGUAUAGCCAACUGGUUCUCUAUUUUUGUAUUUUAUUUCAAUAAUGAUUUAUGUUCUGAUAAAAGGAAUACGAGUUUCGAAUUUUCAGAAAUAUAUUUUAUUCUCUCUCGAUCUUCCACAAAAUAUUUUAAAACAAAUACAUAAAAAUGGUCUGGUUAUUCGGUUCAAUAACGCCGGAAUGGCUGUCGUCUCGCGGUCUGCGGGCAAUUCGUUACGAAACACCGCGAAAGUUUCGGGUGUGAAUAGCAAGCUCUUAAACAGGGCGCGUUCAACCACGAAAUAAGACACUAAACAACGGGCACAGUGAAAAUCUUGUCCGUCGCGAACAUGCAAGACCACCUUCAAGGGCCAUUACUCGCGGGCCAAUAAUUAUUCGCCGGCCUCCACGUAAGACAGGCCGCCAUUGUGAGCCCUAGCCGCUUUCAAUACGAUUGUCCCUAGCGCUGCUUAUUGUCGAAAGUUUCCAUUGUCAUUAUUAUUUCGUCGCAUUAUGUCCGGAGAUUUAUGGGCUCGUGUAAUUUCGCUUCGCAAGGUCCUGAUCGCACGAACCGUUCGACGUAUCGUGGCUUCUAUUUCCACAACGUGAGAGCGAACUUUAUCGGGAUCGCCAUUUCUUUUUUUAUCAAAUCAAAUGAAAUUGUACUCUUAAUUUUCUAUUUGAUCGGAUGGAGAUAAAAUAUCCCAACUCUGUGUUGUAUAAAAUAAAGAUCAUUCAUUGUCUGUCAAUAAACUAUUAAAACGGUGCGAAAAUAGCACGGAAUUGAACAAUCCUCUGUUCCAACGUCGACGAAUGGAACAUGCCUUAAUGGAGACCGAUAAUUAGGUUUCAAGUAACCAGAUCGAGGAUUGACGUUCGAUUGGUCGCAGUAUUCCUGCACGAAUUUGUAAUUCUCCGACAAAGAGGGUCGAGAGGAAGGAAUUGGUGAUGGGUGUCUGCAAUUUUGUGGUGCAAGCCUGACGAUUUGCAUUGCAAGACCACGUCCUAGCCGAGACUUCCUUCCUUGAACGAGCUCUAAUUCUCGAGGACCAGCCAGACGUCCGAUUUCCGAUUUUCUGGUCCCCCUUCCUUGAGAAUCCGGAAGUCGGUGUUCGAGUGGUUCAGUCCAUUUCUGCUUCCAGCCUCACCACUCCAUUUACCCGAUUUUCCUGGUCGAUCUUUGAAUUCCGUGCACUUGCUGAUUCCGUGCUUUUUGAGAGAAUAUUUGGGGGUUGCAACUUGCCACUUAAUAUAUUGAUUACAUAGUUUAAUUUAUCCAUAGGAUUGAGGCAUCGAAUACAUAUUUCAGAUUUAAGUAUCUCACAUUUAAUUUAACAAGUCCAUUUAUUGCUUUCGAAAUCGAAAGUUAUACAGUCCGUAUUAUUGUGCAAUAACCCCUUUCUCUAAAAGAAAAUCCAGAUAAAUUCGAAAUCGUUUGCUGAACGCGACGAGCGUGAAACGCGAACGAGUCCACGCUCGAUUAACAUUUACUCGUAACAAAUUCGCGUUUACGCGACAUCAGGAUGAAUUUCAUCCCCUAAAACUUUAUACCAUGCAAUUAAGAAUAAUGCAUUCGUUACAGCAUUGCGAUAAUAGCCACUGCGAUCAACACACGGUUGGAAACACGACAUUUUGUGUUUUAUAGGGCUCGUCAAUGUUAUAGUUUAAUAUUGUGCAGCAGUAAAAACGUUGUUGAUCUUUAUGAAUAUCAUUAAUAUUUUGUGUUCUU